This 66254-nucleotide long non-coding RNA is filed under the name Capsicum annuum. RNAcentral describes it as "long non-coding RNA (CANN_LNC014816)". The record is from RNAcentral. Lineage: Eukaryota; Viridiplantae; Streptophyta; Magnoliopsida; Solanales; Solanaceae.
GGAACAAGUAAGUAGACGUGGUUCAUAGAAGUAAAUACUGAACACAAUAUUUUUACGUGAAAAAUACCCAGCUCAAGAAAAGUGUAAAAAACUAUGACCUAUAGCUCUACAGGAUUUAACCCCAACUUCACUAUAAUACUUGAGCCUCAACAAUCAACAGGAUUACAAGACUUCUUGUAAACUAGGAAUUAAAAUUUCUAACUCCUAUCAUUACAAAAACACAAAUCUUUCCAAGAUAAGUGUUCCCAAGUCUUCGAGUUACCCAACUUGAAGACACAAUUCCUAACUCAGUUUAUAGAUCAUUGAGACUAGAACAAUGACUCAUUACAACUCAAAGAACCUAACUACUACACAUAGUCUACGACUUGCUAAGUAAAAGACCAGGUUCUUCUUCAAGUAUGUGAACUGAUAUGCUGAUUGUUGAUUUUCUUUUCAGUGCUUGAGUACCAAGCCUUUUAAUUUCGUUUGUUGUAUUUAAGCCCUCCUCUGAUAAAGUUUUUUUUUUUAUGUCUACUUCUCUCUCCAGUAGGACUCUUAUCAAGUGACUCUUCUACUUGUUGCUUCCGCCUCUUUCUCUCUUAGAUUUAAUAUGACUCUUUCUUCUCUUAUUGUUGGACUCCUUGAUCAACCCAACUUCUGCACUAUUUCAUGUUUCUCUUCAUCUUGACUAGGACUCUUUUGCAGAACUUCUUAUUCUACUCAACUUCUGAUAUGAUAGAUAUUAUCCAUUUCUGUUUGUAUGCAGAGACAUCUUAUCCAUAACUUGUCUGCAGCUUAGCUUUGUUCACUUGGAUGGAUUAGCUUUUACAACAUGUUUCAUUCACAUGUCUAUCAUCAAAACUCCACAUGUCCUAACAAAUUCCCCCUUUUUGAUGAUGACUGUUGACACCUAAUUUUUGCCCCCCACGACUAAGUUUAGUCCUGAGCUUCUUCAAUUUUCAAUACAAUUGAAACAUUUAUGUUAUCUGAAUAAAAGUUUUUCUAAAUAUUUAUUUGGGUGGAUUCGUCAUUUUAAGUAGAGAUUAUAUAAAAUCGUGUUCAAUUAUACGAGAUUAUAUAAUUUGAUUACUUAAAUAUUUAUUCUAUGUAAUAUCGAAUUUUAAUUAAGGAUCACUUUGAAAAUAAAUAUAAUAAUUAAAGUCUUGAUUUAAAUAUAUUUGUCUUAAAAAAUAAUUUAUCUGAAUAAAUAUGUGUUUGAUUUUAUCGAAUCUAGAAGCUCGGGGUUAAAUGAGGUAUUAAUUCAUUUCAAAUUUUGACUUAAUUUGGCCAAUCUUUUUGAUUUGACCAUAAUUGAAAUCAAAUUAACCAUAAUUGCGAUGCAAUUGGCCAAUUGAUUUUCAAUUUGGCCAAAACUUAAAUGAAUUGCCCAAAUCCCCAAUUCACAUUCCUAAUUAUCUAACCCAUACCUCUCAAUUAAUAACCCAUUCCAAUUUUUAACCCAAUUUUGCCAAACCCCUAGGCCCAUUUCGUGUUUUCUUCAAACAAUAGCCCAACGAGAGGACUUCCAAUUAACAGCAUCAAUAGGCCUAAAUCCAACCCCCUCCAAUAGCCCAAAGGUCCAAAGAUCCGGCCCACUACCUCAUUUCCCUUCUUUUUUCCACAAAACCCUUCUCUUCCAAGGCAGCAAAGCUGCGUACAAACUCCAUCAACUUUGCAACCCGCCUCCAACAACCCGAUUCAGCCAAAACCGAACCAUCUCCAACCCGUUUUCGAACCGACUUAGUCCCAGCCCGUCAGUUUUCUCUUCACACGUAUUUUACGCAACAUUUGGACGAAGAGAAGCCUCGAAUCUUCUAGAAACAAGGCUAGGUGGCCUCUCCAACGGCUCAAUCCCGUGAUCCUCGGAUGAUAUUGUACGAUUUCGUACAUAUUGGGACGUUUUUCAUUGGUUCUUAAAGGAAAUUAAUUUUUCCCAAACCCUAUUGGUUCACCCGUCGUAAAUUUCUCGGAGAAAAUCCAAAAUGGGUACGAUUGAGGAUGAAAAACGGGGCUGUGGAGGAGAUUUUUGAAUUUCAAAUCCUAGGGUUCCCUUCUUUUGAAUCCCGAAAAUACCCCGAUUAUGUUUCUAUAUAAGAACCGGUUGGGUCAUAAUUCGAGGGAUUGGAAAUUCUUGAAUUCAAAAAUUUAGGUUUGGAAAAUCCAAACUGAGAGGUUCAAAAUUUGGAGUCUCAAAAGAGUGAAAAAAUUUUCUUGUUUCUACUGGAGGAGAAAAAAUUCUUGAAAAGGCAGAAACACGGGUAGAAAAUUUUUGGGGUUCAAAAAUUCAGUUCGUUGUAUAAAUUAAGGCUUCGAGUUGACUGCGAAUACAUUUUUUUGGUGGUUGCGAGUUCGACGCUAGUUCGUUAUCCCAUUUUGCUGCCUGGAAAGAGGUAAACACUCUUGUCCUUUUAAUUCCAUUAUUUUCUGCUUCAUCCCCCUUUCUCCGUAGUAUUAGUCAACUGUUUAAUAAUAAUCAUGAAUGAGGCUGGGAUUUGUUCACUUUAGAUGGACGGGAUGGCCUUAGGAGGUGUUGGUAAUUGUUGUUAUGCUAUUUCGCCAAGUCAGUAUUCAUGUCAUAAUUUUCAGUGUAAUUAUGUUAAAUAUAUUGUCUCUUAAUUAACAAUGUUAGUGGUCAGCAAGUCCAUAGCUUGAAUCGGCUGCUUGAAUACUGUCUAGUUUUGAUGAAGAUUGUAAGAGCGGUUUUGAUUUAUAGACUUAAGGGGAUACUUUGGGGUGUACUAUUGUGUAUAUAUUGGUAUGAUCCAUGUUUCAAAUACCUUUAUGUUCAUAUGAUUCAUGAGGUUCACACGAGUUUGAAUUCGAUUUGUUGUUUUAGCCUUAAUCUUUCAUUUGUCGCUAUUGUUCAUGUAGCUUGCUUACUUUUGUAGUUGAACAUUUUCCUUACUUUAGUCUUAACCCCUUUAGUCUGUUACCUGUAGUUUUGAACUCAAGAUUCAAUCUUUAUUUUUUUUAUUCUUUAUUUUUAUCACUAAAUCCUGAUUUCCGAAGAAUCCUACUUGCUAUGAUUUUUGAUUCUUGAUUUCACGUCUGAUAUUGUUCACGAUAGCUUAGAUCCAUAGUAAUAUGUUUCAUGUCAGCACCUAGUUUACUGUUUUAGCUAGAAUAUUGUAUGCUGUACUCUGUUGAUUCAUUAUUUGCAGUGGUUUAGGUUCAUUGUAGUUCUCUGUUGUGGUUUAGUGUGGUCUGACUCAUAGCUCUGAUUCAAUGACUCUUAACCCAACUCGGACGAGUGUAUCUUUCCAGAUUCAUUUCGAGUGUUUUUCUCCCUUUUGUUUUCCAUUCUUCACGAUUGAGGUCAUCUCUGAUAGGACUUGAACUUUUCCUGCCUCGUCAGUUGGUUUAAUCUUGCUGUUUUGAUUCACUGUGUUGUCUUGAUUUGUUAAAAAAAUAGUCGUUCUCUAGCAUUUUGUGUAAAGAUCUGCUGGUUUAAUUUAUGAUCUAAUUAUUAAUUUUGUUUGAUAAAAGAAGGAGGGUUGCUUUGUGACCCAAUGCUUGAUUUUUCUUUGAAAAGUUGUAACAUUGUGGCAUUUCCAGUUUAGAUUUCUAUGUUUCUUUACUUUGUUUUUUUAUGUAGUUAGUUUUCUCUAUUUUGGCUCUUUUGAAUUGAUCGUACUAUUCUUGUCCUGAGCCGGGGGCUGUGGGAAACAACCGCUCUACUUCAUCUGAGGUAGUGGCGCGGAUUGCUACACUUACUCCCUAUACUCCAUUCUGUGGGAAUAUGCUAAAAUCCAAAUGUCAUUAAGAAAUGGUUUUCUCUGUAAGUAGUUCUUUUGAGUCAAGGUCAAGAUUUUAUUUAGGAGGUUGUAGGUAUAGACUUUUUGUUCCAUCUACCGCGAAUGUUAUCUCUAAUAAAUUUGUGGUAAUUCAGGCUGUGUAAGGAGUUUUCUUUGUAAUCAAUUAAAGCUAGAACUACACCUUUCUCGACCUAAUAUGAUAGAAAUGGUGAUGUAUUUUGUCAUUAUAGUUCCUAAUCUUGGUGCUUCAUGGAUUUUUGAAUGAUAGUUAGAUGUUUUAUCUGGUUAAGUAUGGCUUAAGCUAAAGCGUCAAACGUGAAGGACUUGACUGUAUGCUACUUUAUCAACUGGUUUUUAAACAAAAUAAGGGAUGGUUAUUUUUGCUAACUUUCAUGGGGGAACAAAUGUUUGUCUUAGCUGAUUAAAGUUGAUUGUUGCGGCUCUUCUUGGCCUCUCUUUAAAUUGGUGGUGUGAGAAGUAUUUUAAUCAAAAUAAAGUUUCUUUGAAUGUUCCAUUGACGUCCCUUUAUGUGCAUUUGAUACAUGUUUUUCUUUGUUGUCUUACCUGCUUAUUUUAACAUAGUAUUAAUUCUUUGUACUUCAUNNNNNNNNNNNNNNNNNNNNNNNNNNNNNNNNNNNNNCUUUCCCUUAGAAUCUCAUAAUGAUCCAUUGAGGCCUGUCGCAUCGAGUCAAGCCCGAAAGAAGGCCUUAAGUAGACAAUCUCAUAGUGCACGGACGCAAGGAGUCCAAGGAAGAAGCACGGGUUAAAAUCCCGUAUUCGAAGUGGCUAAGAGACUUAAAAGUCUCAUUUAUUUGCUUAGUUAUUUAUCGUUGUCUUUAUGUAUUCAUUUCUUGGUUGUCUUAUUUCUUUAUUUUAUUCAUUCGGGCCACAAAACCAAAGUUGUAUUUAAUACAGGUGGAGUGAGAAUCGAGCCAAAAGGGGCUUGGAAACAUAGAAUUAGGACAGGUGAAAAUGGGUCAAAAACCCAACUAGAUUAGGACAGGGUUGAUGGUUUGGGCUUUAAAGCCUAAAUCACUACUUCUCCUCUUUCCCCUUUCCUUUUUGCUUAUUUAUUUUACGUGUUUCUUGCGAACCUAGUUGAAUCCCUAAUUAAGUCGCUAAAAAACUGAUUUUGCAAAAACUUUUUCCUAAUCAACUACUUUUCAACAAAUUAAUCUUUUUGAAGUUGGUCAAAAGACGUUUUUAAAUAGUCUGGAUCACCGCAAGUUAGCGGACGUUUUAGGUGCCUAACACCUUCUUAAAACGUUAAUAUGAACCUCUUACUUAGAAUCUUCAAAACUUGAACGAUUUUUUUGUUUUGGAUCGUUUAAAGUAUUUUAUAAAGGUUUCUUAAUUCCUUUUUCAAAAUUAAGUAGCGACUCUAAAUAAGUCAAAAUUUCUCCGCAAAACAGAAAUGACGACUCUACUGGGGAUUGUUUGAACUAGGUUCUAACCAAAUGUUUGAUUUUGUCUUUUGAUUAACUAUUUAUGUGUUCAUAUGUUUUGAUUCUGUAAAGUUUAACUAUCACAUCUCAUGGUAUAUUCCUGUAUUAUUUAAACUUUUUUGGGGUUUCGUGAAUGUCCCAGCCCCUGUUGUUCAAUUUCAAAAUGUGUUGGAAAUCGAAUGGCUUAUUAGCACGUGAGUCAUCUGAUGGUUGUUCGUAUUUUCAAACUCAAGUUGUCCGCUUGAGAACCAGUGUUCAAACCCACUCUAGACACAGAGGAUAGAACGAAACCAAAAUCCUAUUUUAGGCAUGAGCCUAGGACGUCCCAAUACCCGAGCGGGGUAUUGAGCCUAUUAGAAAACCUGCCCAGCGUCUAUUGACCCCGAGUCAAUUACAGACGAAUCAUAUUUAUGUGUUGAAAAAAUAUGUGCUUGUCUAAUUUAAUCCAUUACCCUUUGGGGUCGGGGGAAGGCUUAUCUUUAUUUGCUUUCAUGUAGAAUAUGGCUCAACUACAUUCCCACGAAAAGUUCAAGAUGGUUACUAAAACCGACAAUUUCUUAAAGUUAUGGUGGGAUCACAUGAGCGCAGAAGAGAGAAAGAUUGUUAGAACACACAUCGGGCAUCUCCCUUCUUUGAUCGAGAUGGACGCUUGGCCUGAAAUGAUCCAUGUACUAACAAAUUUUUGGGAUGAUCAGAAUAUGGUAUUUUGCUUUGAGGAUGUUAAAUUGACUCCUAUCAUUGAAGGGGUAUUGAUUUGUUACGAGAGUACUGAAAUGUGUUUUAAGAGAAGGGAGACACUUGAUAAGAACAUUUUAGUCCUAGUUGUGUGGGAUCGUCAAAAGAUCAAGGAGGUAUUUUUAACUGAUGACGACACCUGGCUAGGAGAACGUGAUAGAGCAAAUAUCACUUUUCAUGAGUUAAAUCAUCGGUUAGGAAGAUUCAAUGCUUUUCACAAAUUUGGACAUAAAUUUGAGUCAUAAGCAAAAUAGAGGGAGACGAGAGCCUUUGUAUUUGCGGUGGGCCUACUUGGAACCAUGGUGUUCCCACAAGGGGAAAAUGGCACAAUUCAUCUAAGUGUUGUCCCAGUGACCCAUGCACUCUUCUUUGGAAUGGAGUACAAUUCUAAAAAGAUAUUCCACAACUUAGCUCCCAUGAUUGUUGUAGACAUAUAUCGAGCUUUGGGAAGAUGUCAAGUCGAGAAUCAUUUCUUUCAAGGCUGCAACCUUAUAUUGCAAUGGUGGAUGAAUGAUGCAUCUGGUGAAAAAUCCUAGAACGGUACAACCCGAUUACAAAACAAGAAGGAAUCUGCUAGAAUCGCAUGACAUGUGGUUGUUCCUACACAAGUUCAAAACAGAAGCAUCUCAUGAAUUUUGGUUUAAGACUCUUGGAUAAUUAAGAGGUGACAAUGUGCAAUGGUCCAUUAACUACCUUCGUUUAGGGAAAUACACUAUUCAAGGGGGCGAGUGGCCUUUUCUAGUGCUUUUGGAUCUCAGGGGAACCAUCCCUACAAUUCCGACAGAGUUCUUAGGCAAUUUAAGAUCAAGCAGGAGAUACCUCAAAUCGACUCUAUGCUCAAAUUCUUCACCGAGUAUGAUGAAAGCGAGCCCCCGCUCAAAGACAAUAUGAUAAACGGAUGGAGAAGAAUAAGGUGGAUAGAAGUCUCUUUCCGUUUAGGGUAUGAACCCGAAGUCAGCGACACUUAUAAGGAUUGGUUAAAAAAAAGCCUCACCGAAGCAUUAAUUUCGGGGCCUAACGUGCCCACUCGGGUCGUGGAUGUAGAAUCUGAGCAUCAGAUCCGACUCCACGGGCUUCAAGAUAAGUUUUAGAAAAGUGAAAUCACGCACCGCCAGAUGCAUGUUGAGGGAAGAGUUGAAAAGAGCUGUAAGAGGCUGAUGAUGCUAGGUAGUAUUUAAUCGAUUUGGAUGAUAGCAUGGCCUCCCAACUCGAUAAAAUAGGAAAAAUGACUUACGACAGCAAGGCACAGUUAUGCGGGAGUCAUCUGAUCAUCAAUAGGUAUCAAAUAACACAGGAGGUGAACAAGGCAAAGAAGUAAAAGGCAGACAAAAGAGCCUCCAGUAGCUAGUUUUUCUAUUUCUCCUGCGUGGGAACUUAUCUUCUUUCAUGUUAUUUCUCUUUUUCGCUAAAGAUUGUAUCCCUCUUUUGUUAUAUUUUGUAGGCAUUUAUGCCCUUUUCGUGUCUAUAUAAGUUGGAGGAUAAUGGAUUGACUUUACGGAAGCAUAUAUUUUCUUCAAAAUCGUUAGGCUUGAACCCUGGGCUUAAAAAGGGUCACCCCAGUUAGGAUACACAUUAUUAUAAUGUUUGUCUAAUAUAAUUAUCUUAUGUGCUUAUGUAUGUUUGUUUGGAUCAAAGACAAGUUUAUCCACUAUGCUCCUAUGGAUGAAUUUGGAUAUGACUCAAACAACUCUACGUGGUUAUUUCUUGUCAAAUAUUUUGCAUUACUUAUCAUAUACGAAAACUAACACUAAAGCCUUUGAGUUAAUUUACUUUACAGAUAAUAGAAACUACUCCGUGUUGAUAUAAGCUGGCAGAACAUCCCUAAUUCACCCGGUCAAAGGCGCAUAAAAUCCCAUCCUCUGAUCAUCAUUCAAUAAUGACUGGAAAUGAUAAAGAAAAUGCAUUGACCAUCAGGGACAUGUAAUAGCGGAACAGAAUAAGAUGAUUGCAGAGCUUGCAAAGAAGUUAGAAAUGCUGUAGGAGGAAAUAAAUUGCACUCGAGAUUUGGCUAACCUGGCCAUCACCGUCAAUGCCUCCGCUCCAGGAGGACAUGAGACUCUACUCUAAAUUUUUCUCCUCAGUACACCAAUUCACGGGAAUCAGCCAAAUAACAUAUCAUCCAUCUCCGUUCCCCUAUUUGUCCAAAACACCAAUCGCAAAAAUAACCCAGAUGCCUACCAUCCGCAAAAUCCAUCUCUAACCCCACAAAACCUAUCUCCGAAUCAAUGUCCAAAUCCCCAGAACCCAUUUGCAAAUCAACAAAAUUCGUACCCAAAUCCAAAAGAUUCACUCCUAAAUCCACAAAAUCCAUCCCCAAAUCUUCCAUCGAAUCUAUCCUUGAAUCCACCAAAUUCGUUUCCAAAUUCACAAAAUCUUUCUCAAAUGCCACCAAACUACUCGCAAAUUCCACAAAACCUUUCUAAAUUUCAAAACGUCCUCCCCACCUACCAACCAACUUCCUUUCAUCUACAAAAUCAAGACUUCAUUCCAAAUUCUCCUUAUGCCAUCAUAUCCUUUGACAUGUAUAAUCCCCUUCCUAAUCCUGAGAUGGACUAUUACGAAGAGAAGGAGAAAGAGUGGAGGAACGAGCUUGAAAUGAAGUUGCUAGCUAUGAAUGAAGAGAUCAUGAGGAUCAAAGAAUCUCAUGGAGCAAGGGACCACGACGGUUUAGGGUACGAUGACUUAUGUGUUCACCCUGGAGUAGAUCUACUAGAAGGGUACAAGGUCCCUAAGUUUGAAGUGUUCAAUGGUACCGAAAACAUAAUGUCCCAUCUGAGAAGGUAUUGUGAUCAAAUGCUGGGGGUAGGGAAAAAUGAAGCAUUAUUGAUGCGUUUGUUCAGUCGGAGUUUAACUGAAAAAGCCUUAGAAUGGUUCAUGUCUCAGGAACUGAAAAGAUUGACUGGUUGGAGAGCAUUGGCCAAAGAUUUCCUUGACAGGUUCGCGUUUAACAUUGAAAUAGUCCCUGACCGAUAUUCACUAGAUCGGAUCAAACAGAGAAGUGAUGACUAUUUUCGAGACUAUGCUUUCCAUUGGAGGAAAGAAGCUGCCAAAGUGCAACCCCCUAUGUCUGAGAAAGAAAAGGUAUUUAUGUUCUCUCGCACUCUAGAAGGAGAAUAUUAUACCAGGAUGGUGUCCACUAUCAGGGAGACUUUUGUAGAUUUGGUAAAACUAGGAGAAUCGCUAGAAGAAGGUAUUUAGACAAGAAAAAUUACCAGGACCCCAACAUCGUCCGGGACUGCUAUGUUCUCGAAGAAGAAAAAGGAGGAUCUAGGCACGGUUUUUGUUGAUUCUAUGGCAAAAAUAAAAAAGAGGUUCAACUCUAGGAAUAUUUUCUCUUCUCCGCCGUCACCAAACUUUCAGCAUGUAUUCUACACUCAACCCCAAUAUCAAUCUCCACUCCCAAAUAUCCAACCCCAAUACCAAACUCCACUCCCAAAUGUCUAAUCACAAUGCCAAGCUCCACAGCCAAAUAUUUUUCCCUAAUACCAAGGUCCACCACCAAAUUAUCAGCCUCAUGUCCGAUCCACUCUUCCAAACAACCGAACUAACAUCUAAGCACCUCCAAAUUAUCAUCAAGUACCUUCUCCUGCAAAUCAGGACCAUUAUAACCCUCUGCGUCCAAAUAUGAAAAAGAAAUCUCCCUGAAACUUCACGCCGCUGGCUGAAAAUCGCACCCAACUAUUUGAAAGAUUGAAGAAUGUCGGUCAUUUGCAACCAAUCCAGCCAAAGCCUGUCAAUCCCAACUCCCAAUUUUAUCAUCCUAAUCAAAAUUAUGCCUAUCAUUCAAGAGCAGCAGGGCACAGUACCGAGGAUCGUUUUAUCAUGAAACAUAAGAUACAAGAUCUGAUUGAUCAAAAGGUUAUCACACUUUAGUCACCAACGCCAAAUGUCAACAGUAACCCAUUGCCUAAUCAUGGGGUACCUACUGUUAACAUAAUUGAAGUAGAUGGAGAAUGGGCUUCUGGCAAGACUAUUAUUAAGGUGAAUUCAGAAAAGUGCAAAAGGGCAAAAAAGGUAGAAAAGAUAGAGAGAGUUGUGGCGUCCUUAAGUGUCAAUGAGAAAGCCCUAUUUAUAGUGAUGAUGGCCCUGACUCAAGUGUAAACUCCCUCGCCAAGGAAGAAAUUUAUUAUACAGACCGCUGCUACCUAAGGGAUGACACGAUCGAGACGAUGCUACAUUCCUGAAGAAUUGACCAACAAAAAGGAUUAAUAGAAAAGGCCAAUCAUUGAAGAGGAGGCUGAGGAAUUUUGGAGGCAUAUGCAACCAAAGGACUAUUCAAUUGUCAAACAUUUAGAGAAGACUCCGGCUCAAAUUUUUGUUUUGGCAUUAUUAAUGAGUUCGCAAUACCACCGACAGGCUUUAUCGAAAGUCUUGUAGGAAGCGUACGUUCCCAUAGGGAUGAGUGUUGAGAACCUGGAUUUGAUGAUAAGAAAUUUUAUGGAAAGUCAUCGCAUAUCAUUCAGCGAUGAAGAGUUGUCAUUUGAAAGAGCGAUGCAUAAUAAGGCCUUGCACGUCAUUGUUAUUUGUCGAGACUAUAUGAUUAAUCAGGUAUUGAUAGAUGAUGGAUCUGGUGUGAACAUUUGUCCUCUCUCCACAUUGGUUAAAAUGGGCUAUGAAUUAGGAAAAAUUUUCCAAAGCCACGUAAAUGUAAGAGAAUUUGAAGGAAAACAGAGAGAUACCAUAGGUGAAAUUGAUUUACACAUCCAAAUGGGACCUGCUGAAUUCAAGACUAAGUUUCAUGUUAUGGACAUUCAUCCUAGUUACAACCUGCUCUUGGGAAGACCAUGGAUACAUGGUGCAAAGGCAGUUUCAUCACCUUUUCAUCAGUUAUUGAAAUUCAUUUGGGAGGAUCAUGAAAUAGUUCUCCAAGGGGAAGAAAGCCGAGCGAAUCAUCCCAAUAGUUAUGUGCCGGUGAUUGAAGAUGUUCCGAAGGGUAGUAGCUUCUAUACAGUGGAAAUUGUAAAUGCUGUGGAAGAGGAUCUAAUGCCAAAGCUCCAAUGCAUUCUGUCUAUAAAAUAAUUGCGUCUAUAAUAUUGAGAAAUAGGUUCGAGCCUGGUUAAGGUUUGGGUAAGAAUCUGCAGGGAAUUAUUGAGCCCGUUAUGAUCCCAGAGAAAGACUUAAGUAUGGGUUAGGAUAUCGGCCUACCAAGGAGGAUGAGAUUGAGAAUAAGUCAGAGGCAAGUAUGUUUAGGCCCUUACCGCUCAUGUACCAAUCAUUUCCCGUGCGUGAGAUAUCGAAUGAUGAUGGUCUUGGGGAUGGGAUAGGAAAUCUGUUCGAGGGAUGCAAUGCUGUACCUGAAUAUUUCCCAAAGUCCAGUGGGGUAAAGAAGAUUACACCAGGGGAGGCCUUGCAAAAUUGGACCUCCACUCCAUUCAUAACCCGUCACCCACCGUGGUAGAUGAAAGGGCAAUUACUAAUAGUUUUUUAAAUUGGUGAUGAUCCGGAGGAGGCCUCGCGAUCCACCCUUUACAUCUCAAUUUUUUUUCCGUAUUUUUACUGCUCUCAAAUGGCAUGGGCUUGUGUUUGCAUGAGUCAUGAGCCAUAGUUUGUAAUUAUCUCUCAAAUUUCAAUGAAAAGGCCUUCCCUUAUUUUGAAAAAAAAAUUAAAAUUAUUUUUAACACUACUAUUCAUAUAUUUUAUUAUUAUCUUGUCAUCAUCUAACUUGGUUUGUUUGUUUAUUACAGUAAUAGUAACUCAAAACCUACUAAUGUCAUGUCAUAUCAAAGCUUAAAUGAACAAAAUAAGGGGAAUGAUGACGAUUGGAAGGAAGGUCAUGAGAAACAAUUAGUUAAAGAUAUAGAGGAGUUUGAGAACCGGGAUAAGCCUAACCUAGAUAAAACUGAAACAAUCAACCUGGGAGAUCAUGAUGAAAUCAAAGAAAUAAGUAUUAGUGUCCACCUGGCGGAAGCACAAAAGUGAGAGCUCAUUCACUUAUUGCAAGAAUACAUUGACGUGUUUGCUUGGUCCUAUGAUGAUAUGCCGGGAUUGAGAACUAGCAUUGUGUCGUAUAAGUUGCCAAUAAAUCCUGAGUUUGAUCCAGUCAAGCAAAAAAUGCGGAAAUUUAAGCCAGAUUUAAGUCUAAAGAUCAAGGAAGAAGUGACAAAACAAAUCUAGUCUAAGGUUGUGGAGGUCAAAAAAUAUUCGACAUAGCUAGCCAAUACUGUCCUAGUGCCGAAGAAGGACGACAAGAUUCGACUUUGUGUUGACUAUAGAGACUUGAAUAGAGCCAGUCCUAAAGAUAAUUUUCCGUUGUCCAACAUCCACACCCUCAUUGAUAAUUGUGCAAAACAUGAAAUGCAGUCUUUCAUUGAUUGUUUUGCUAGGUAUCAUCAGAUAUUGAUGGAUGAGGAAGACGCAGAAAAGAUAGCUUUUAUUAUACUCUGGGGUGUUUAUCAUUACAGGGUAAUGCCUUUUGGUCUCAAGAAUGCGGUUGCAACAAAUAUGAGGGCUAUGAUGACAAUUUUCCAUGAUAUAAUUCAUAAAGAGAUUAAGGUGUACGUGGAUGAUGUAAUUAUCAAAUCCCAUGAGAGUUCAGAUCAUCUGACCUAUCUGGAGAAAUUCUUCAACAGAUUAAGAAAAUACAAUUUGAAGUUAAAUCCUGCUAAGUGUGAUUUUGGUGUGCCAUCAGGGAAGUUAAUAGAAUUCAUAGUCAGCAGGAGAGGCAUCGAGCUAGACCCAUCCAAAAUCAAGACAAUUCAGGAUUUGCCACCCCUGAGGACCAAGAAGGAGGUUAUGAGUUUCAUGGGCCAUUUGAAUUACAUUUGCAGGUUUAUUGCUCAGUCAACAGUUAUAUGUGAGCCAAUUCUCAAGAUGUUGAAGAAAAAUGCAUUGAAUAAGUGGACAGAAGAAUGUCAGAGAGCUUUCGACCGCAUCAAGGAAUAUUUAUCUGCACCACCGGUUUUGGAUCCGCCCAGAGAAGGAAUUCCAUUUCUACUUUAUCUAUCAGUCUAAAAAAAUGCUUUCGGAUAUGUCCUCGGGCAACAUGAUGAGACCAGUAGGAAAGAGAAAGCCAUCUACUACUUGAGUAAAAAGUUUACGCCAUAUAAAGCCUGUUACACUCUCGUAGAAAGAACACGUUGUGCUUUGACUUGGGCCACACAAAAGUUGAGGCAUUACCGGUUGUCAUAUACCACAUACCUCAUCUAGAGAAUGGAUCCAUUGAAGUAUAUAUUCCAGAAAGUCAUGCCCACGGGAAAGCUAGCCAAAUGACAAAUAUUGUUGGGUGAGCUUGACAUUGUGUAUGUAAAUCAAACGGCAAUCACGGGGUAAGCUUUAGCAGAUCAUUUUGGCAGAGAAUCCGGUUGAUGGUGAAUAUGAGCCAUUUCGAACUUAUUUUCCAGAUGAAGAAAUUUUAUUCGUAGGAGAAGACAUUAUAGAAAUUUACCCCGGAUGGAGGCUAUUCUUUGAUGGGUCGUUCAACUUUAAAGGUUCAGGAAUCAAAGCAGUUUUGGUGUCAAAAACGGGUCAACACUAUUCGAUAACUGAUGAUUUGUGUUUCCCAUGCACCAAUAACAUGUCCGACUAUAAAACUUGCAUCUUAGGUCUCAAAUUGGCACUUGAUAUGGGUUUUCGUGAAUUGCUAGUCAUCGGGGAUUCAGACUUACUGAUUCAUCAGGUACGGGGAGAAUGGGUAGUAAAAAAUUCCAAGAUUACUCCUUAUGUGGAGCUGGUGCAAGAAUUAUGUGAAAAAUUCAAAGAAUUUGAUUUUACACAUAUCCCAAGGAUACAAAAUGAUUUUGCUGACACUUUGGCCACUAUAUCCACUAUGAUUCAGCACCCAGAUCAGAGUUACAUUGAUCCUUUGGAAAUAAGCUUAAAGGAGAAACCCGCCCAUUGUGCACACAUUGAAGAAGAGCCUGAUGGAAUGCCAUGGUAUUAUGACAUCAAAAGGUAUUUAUAAUCUAGAAUAUAUCCUGAAGAGUCCAGUAACAACCUAAAGAAGACAAUCUGGCAUUUGGCGAAGAACUAUUUUCCAAGUGGAGAAAUCCGCUUUAGGAGGACUUCGGAUUUGGGAUUCUUAGGAUGCGUCGACACUGCGAAAGUCAAUAAAUUGAUAAAAAAGUACAUGCUAGAGUUUGUGGGGCCCAUAUGAAUAGGUUCUCCCUUGCUAGAAAGAUCCUGAGAGCCGGUUACUUUUGGAUAACUAUGGAAAAUGAUUGUAGUAGGUAUGUGCAGAAGUGUCCAAAAUGUCAGAUGCACGGAGAUUUGAUUCGAAUGACUACACAUGAGCUUCAUGCAAUGAAUUCACCUUGGCCUUUCGUAGCUUGGGGCAUGGAUGUUAUCGGACCAAUAGAGCCACUGGCAUGGAAUGGACAUAGAUUUAUUUUAGUUGCUAUUGACUGCUUUGCUAAGUGGGUCGAAGCUGCUUCAUAUAGAGCCUUCACUAAGAAAGUGGUUGUAGAUUUCAUCAGAAAUAGCUUGAUCUGCCGAUUUGGAGUUCCAGAAUCGAUCAUUACUGAUAAUGGGUCAAACUUAAAUAGUCACUUGAUGAAUGAUAUUUGUGAUCAAUUUAAAAUAGUGCAUCACAGCUCGACCAUAUAUCGUCCACAGAUGAAAUGAGCCGUGGAAGCUGCCAAUAAAAACAUCAAGAAGAUCUUGAUAAAGAUGAUCGAAAAUGAUAGAUCAUGGCAUGAGAUGUUGCCUUACGCUUUGCUAGGGUAUCGUACGACAGUUCGAACCUCCACCGGGGAGACUCCUUAUCUAUUGGUUUAUGGGAAUGAAGCUAUGAUACCUACUGAGGUUGAAAUACCUUCCCUAAAGAUUAUUCAGGAAGCCAGACUAAGCACGAAGAAUGGGUUCACGCUCGCUAUGAACAACUCAUGUAGAUUGAUGGAAAGAGAAUAGUUGUUGUAUGUCAUGGUCAGUUGUAUCCGCACAGGAUGGUUAGUUCCUUUAACAAGAAAGUAAGAACUCUAACAUUCGAAAUUGGGCAAUUAGUUCUCAAAUAUAUAUUUCCUCACCAAGAAGAGCACAAGGGAAAGUUCACUCCAAAUUGGAAAGGGCCAUACAUAGUUCGCAAGGUACUAUCUGGAGGGGCUCUAAUUUUGUCUGAGAUAGAUGGUCAAGAGUGGACCAAACCAAUCAAUUCUAAUGCAGUAAAAUGAUAUUAUGUUUGAACGACGUUCUAGUUUUUGUGUUUCCUUAGUUUACUUGUAAUUUCCUUUGUAGUAAUGUUGUUUUCUAUUGCGUAACUGCCUAGAAUCCCUUCCCUUUUAUGUACGAACUACGUUUGACCUGAAUUCCCAAGAAUGGGAUACAUAGGCAGCCUAUGUCAGCUUUGGUGAACCCCUUAGAAAAUUUUAUCCUUUCCCUUUAUGUAUGAACUACGUGAUGACCUGAAUUCCCAACAAAAGGGAUAUGUAGGCGGCUGAUGUCGGCUUUGGUCAACCCAUUAGAUUUUUGUAUAUAUCCUUAGCAUAGUCCUAAACUACGUUUGAUUGCCUAGGCGUCUAUGGGAGCAGGGAGCCAGGGUGGGGGUACCAACAUGAUGGAGUACCCAAAAGAUGGCGUGGAGCAAAUGGAGAAUCAAAGAAGGUCAACACGGAGUAGUUUCACUCAAACUAAUCAUUUUUCUAUGGAUGCAGGGACCAAUACACAAAAAUUAGAGUCUCUUUCAAAAAUCUCCGAGCAAAUUGGGAGCCACACCAGAGCACUAAUGCUCAAGAACGGUAUUUUUGGGUUGCCCUAAAAAUGGGUUUAAUACCCAUUUAUUAAGUACCUUUUGAAUUGUCCAUCUCAUUUUUGGAGAUCAUGGACGACAAACAAAAGUAUCUUGUCUUGUUUACAAAUAUUUAUAUUUAGAAUUGUUCUAAAAAAUAGUCGCUAGCAAAAACGACUUUAUGUCUACUAAUCAUCUACCUUGAGUACAGGUACAUGCAGAAAGCAAGACCCUGACAAAUGAAUUCAGGUGAAACUAUUUUUAAUUUACCAAGAAAGCCAUUGCAUAUCAUUGCUAAGAGGGCCAUUGCAUAUCAUUGCCAAGAGGGUCAUUACAUAUCAUUGCCAAGAAGGCCAUUACAUAUCAUUACCAAGAGAGCCAUUCAUAUCAUUGCUGAGAGGGCCAUUGCAUAUUAUUGCCAAGAGGGCCAUUUAAUAUCUAUUGACACACAAGACAUAAACGCUGGCGUCGAGGACAUCAUCAGCAUUUAAUAUCUGUUGACACACGAUACAUAAACCCUGGCAUCGAGGAUAUCAUCAUCAUUUUAUAUCUGUUGAUACGCAAGACAGAAAUAUUGGCAUCGAGGAUAUCAUCAUCAUUUUAUAUCUGUUGACACGCAAGACAGAAAUAUUGGCAUCGAGGAUAUCAUCAUCAUUUUAUAUCUGUUGACACACAAGACAUAAACGCUGGCAUCGAAGAUAUCAUAAGCAUUUAAUAUCUGUUGAUACUCUAGACACAAAUGCUGGUGUCGAGGAUAUCUCAUCAUUUUAUGAAUCAAUAUCCAAAUGCAUCAAGAGCACACGAUUUGAAGGGAUGCCUUUAAGUCGCUAUCUAAGGAUGAAUGAUAUAUAAAAUUUCCUAGAAAUUGAUAAUUUGAGGGUCAUCUAUAAGUCCUAUUAUUUAAAAUAGGGUAGUGUGAAAGAUCACCUAUGAGUCGAUAGCCUGUAAGUUAUCUGUAAGACACAAUAACAUCCUAACCGGAUAGUGUGCAAGAUCGCCCAAAAAUUGAUAGUCUGAAGGUUAUCCAUAAGUCGCAACUAGAUCCUUACCGGAGAAUAUGUAAGAUUAUCAAAUCGAUGAUGUCCAAGGGUUCUGUAUAAUCCGCAUCAUAUCCAAGAUCGAUUAUGUGCAGGAUUACCCAAAGACUAGAAAUUUGAGACAUAUUUAUGAGUCAUAUUGUCGGAUGAUGUGCAGAAAUACCAAAAACCUAGUGAUUGGAGAGAUAUCUGUAAGUCAUCUCUUAUCCAAAGUCGAAUAAUGUGCAGGAUUGCCUAAAAGCUAGAAAUUCAAAGGAUAUCUGUAAGUCGCCUCGUAUCCAAUAUCAAAUAAUGCUCAAGAUUAUCCAAAGAUUGACAAUUUAAGGGAAAGUUAUAAAUCAAUCAUCGGCUAUAACCGGAGAGGCUAUCAUUCCACAUACAACAAGAUAUAUAGGUGACCAAAAUGGUUUCCGAAUCAAUAUAAGAUUAUAUGGUUGUAGGGACUGUUCUAUAUAAAGUGUCAUCGGUGUCCAAAAGGGCUACCCCACUUUAAAGACAUAUUCAGCCGACAAAUAUCAUAAUUAUACAAUAACCAAGAGGGUUGUUAUGUUUAUUAUUUCUAGUUAUUUCCUUCCAAACAGGUAUGGAAGGAUGACUCCGCUUCUUAGGGAACAACUCACGUGGAGAUAUAGUAAAAAACUAUAUGCCUCUUUUGUGAAUUAUGUUUAGAACUAACACUUUUUGCUUGAAGCAUUGUCGAGAGCAUCCGAGAGGAUGAAAAUCUCAAAUAAAAACCAUAGGUGCGGACGACUCCAAAAAGGACGCAGCACAACGUGGAACUCUUUAUUAGCAGCAAAAUGGGGCAUAGUCUAGAGAGAGACGUCAAACUCUCUGGACGCGAGCUAAAGGAUGAUCACCACCACCAUCUAACCACACCCCUAUUAUAAGGAAUGUGGGUAUUUUGGGAUAAUCUGGUUUCAGCUUCACCUCUGAGAUAUUUUCUUAACUCAUACCGAGGGUAACCUUCUCUUUCUUUUAAAUUCGGCUGACAACAUACUUAGAGGUUUGGAAAUUAUGUCUGGGUAAGUUUUUGUCUAUGGGUGUGAAGGAUCCCACAUUCAUGACUAAGAGGUUACAAGCCUUUUUUUCGCAACUCGAUCAACUUGUCACUCAUCCCAAUCCAAAGAUUGUCUGAAAUAGAAAACUAUAUUUUCUACCAAUAGACUCAAACUACAAGCAGUCUGAUUCCUUGUGUCUCGGGGAUAUGUAGGCUGGGAUCUAUAUAGAAAACUCAACUGCAUUCUAACCUCCCCCCAAAUCCUACUAUUCCCCAGCUUUUCAGUUUUAUCAAAGACUCCAAAAAAUCGAGACAGCUUGUGACAAUCGUGCUUUAAAUCAUGCUUUAUGAACUACAAGUGGCCUGAAUUCUCAUGUAACCUAAGAUAUAUAGGAAAGCUGAUACUGAGGCCCGGCCAUAACUCUAUGAAACUCGUGCGAAGACCAACCUCUUUCAGAUUUAAAUUUGUGGUUGAACAAAAUUAGGAACGUCAACCUCCCUUUUCCAAGGGUUACUUGCAUCCACCCUAUCCAAAGGAAGGGAGCAGUUGUUGACACCUAAUUACCUAUCUGUGGAACAAGUAAGUAGAUGUGGCUCACAGAAGUAAGUACUGAACACAGUGUUUUUACGUGGAAAACACCCGGCUCAAGAAAGGUGUAAAAUACCAUGACCUGUACCUCUAUAGGACUUAACCCCAACUUUACUAUAAUACUUGAGCCUCAACAAUCAACAUAAUUACAAGACUUCUUGUAAACUAGGAAUUAAAACUUCUAACUCCUAUCACUACAAAAACACAAAUCUUCCCAAUAUAAGUGUUCUCAAGUCUUCGAGUUCCCCAACUUGAAGACACAAUUUCUAACUCAAUUUAUAGAUCACUGAGAUUAGAACAAUGACUCAUUAAAAAUCAAAGAACCUAUCUACUACACAUAGUCUACGACUUGCUAAGUAAGAGACCAGGUUUUUCUUCAAGUAUGUGAACUGAUAUGCUGAUUGUUGAUUUUCUUUUUAGUGCUUGAGUACCACGUCUUUUAGUUCCAUUUGCUGUAUUUAAGCCCUCCUCUGAUAAAGUCCUUUUUGAUGUCUACUUCUCUCUCCAGUAGGACUCUUAUCAAGUGACUCUUCUACUUGUUCCUGCCGCCUCUUUCUCUUUUAGAUUUAAUAGUACUCUUUAUUCUCUUAUGCUGGACUCCUUGAUCAACCUAACUUCUGCACUAUUUUAUGUUUCUCUUCAUCUUGACUAGGACUCUUUUGCAGAACUUCUUAUUCCACUCAACUUUUGAUGUGAUAGAUAUUAUCCAUUUUUGUUUAUAUGCAGAGACAUUUUAUCCAUAACUUGUCUGCAGCUUAGCUUUGUUCACUUGGAUGGACCAGCUUUUACAAUAUGUUUCAUUCACAUGUCUAUCAUCAAAACUCCACAUGUCCUAACAGUACUCUUAAAAUUGGAAAGUUCACUAAUUCUCCCACAUUGGUAGGAGAAGAAAACUUUGGAGUUUUUUUAAUAAGUAACACUAACUCCACAUGAAUAGAGAGGCAAGAACAAGGUGGUGCCUUACGCUAUUGUCGUCAUCGCUCGGCUCAAAUUUGGAUUUGGCGAUCGAUGAGAUCUAUCUUUUUAGACGAAUUUUAUUUGAAACUUGUGUUACAAGUGAAAAACUUAAUCCAAAAAUCUGAUAUAAUUCUCCAAGUGUGGGCGCAAUUUUUACGCCAUACAAACGCAUACGCAAUGCAUCAUGAAGGGAUGUGACCCUUUGAGGUAAAAGGCACACUAUUUUGCAUUGUAGGGUGACCUGCGGGCAGAGAUGAAGCACAAGUACGCAACCUGUGGGUGAAGAUGUAGUGCAGAAGCUACUGGAAAUUGUGAAACAUCACCUAUGCCGUAGAUCAGGCGCAGGUCCAGCACAGACUGAGCGCAGGGACGUGACUGCUACUGAAUAAGUGUCUUUCUGCUAAACCAAUGCAUCAUUUCUAAAAGGACACAUUUUAAGACUAUAAAUACCUGAUAUAUUCCUCAGUUAUAGACAUAAUUUUUUAUAGCAAAACACUCUUCUUCUAUACAAAAACUCUGUGUGAUCAUUAAGUUGUUGAGUUAGUUCGACGAAUCCAAUAAUUUGAGGUACCGCUAUUGUUUGGAUUGAAGGCCAUUUUAUCCUGGGAGGAAGAUUCCAUAACCUCGGGUACAGUGAUGGCAAUUAUUCCUUAAGGACACUCCAUGAAGUCGGGGGACUCAACCUUAAAAAUUCUGUUUCAUCUCAUUUCUGAAAUUUAACACACUUCUUGGAUAGACUAUUCAUAAUCUUGUGUUGAAGGUUUUAAGGAACUUCAUAAGUGUUCUUGUCUUAGACUUGAACUUGGGUUGAAGUUGUUGUUGCAUAUAUAUAUAGAUUCUUGUACCCGAAAACAUCAAAAAUAACAAUCUUAAGGAAUAAACUUUCGAAAUCUAUAUAGCUUAUUUUAUGGAGAUUAAAGCUUUAAGAUUUCUACUCCGUUUGAACUUAACUAGUGAUUUGAAGACAUAAAAUCUUCAUCACAAGUUAAAGAUCACUCGGUUGAUGAUUGGAAGUCAUAUAAACUGCAUCAUUAGACUAGAAACAAGAAGUGUUUAAAGUUGUUGCAACUUUUUAAUAAGUAUUUUGAUAUAAUAAGAGGUCGUUUGGUUUGAGGUAUAAAAAAUCCAAGGGAUAAGUUAUCUCGGGAUAAAAUAAAAGAUCACUUAAUCCCUUGUUUGGUUGGAGGGAUUAAUCCAACCCGGGAUAACUUAUCCCGCCAUUUUCCCCUUAGUGAAAGGAUAACUUAUCCCAUAUACAUAGUGGGAUAAAUUAUUCCGGGUAAUCUUGGGAUAACGAAUCAUGGUAUUAGUUAUCUCGGGAUAACAAUUUCCCAACCAAAUGACCCCUAAAGGUAUUGUCUUGUAGUGACAGAAAAAUGACGACUGAUAGUUAAAUGCGUGAUGCUGGAACAACUAUAGAGGCAACUAGUACUAUCACAAAGAGUCGUACUAAUGCUCCGUAAGCUAUGGCACUGAUAGAGAAACCUAAAAAGUUUGCAGGUAUUGACUUCAAAAGAUGACAGCAAAAAAUAUUCUUCUACCUCACAACUCUUUGUCUUUAAAGGUUCUCGUUUGAGGAAGCUCCAGAGGUACCCGAGGAAACCUCUGAACAAGAGCGCUUCGUAAUUGUGGAGGCUUGGAAACACUCAGAUUUCCUUUGCAGCAAUUACAUCUUGAGUGAUCUCCAAGAUGACCUCUACAAUGUGUAUAGCGGAACAAAGACUGAAAAAGAGUUAUUGGGAACGCUAGAAUGGAAGUACAAGACAGAGGAUGCCGGAACUAAAAAUUUCUUCAUUGCAAGAUUCCUGGAGUACAAAAUGAUAGACAACAAGUCUGUUGUUUUUCAAGUGCAGGAACUGCAGGUGAUCAUCCUUGAUCUCCUUGCGGAAGGUAUGAUUUUAACAAAUACCUUUGUUGAACAGUUUAAAUAUGUUCUUAGUAUUUACAUAAUCUUUGUUCUAGGUUUGAUUGUGAAUGAAGCGUUUCAAGUAGCAACAAUAAUAGAGAAGCUACCACCUAUGUAAAAAGACUUCAAGAACUAUUUGAAACACAAAUGUAAGAAGAUGUCAGUCAAAGACCUGAUUAUAUGUCUAUGCAUUGAAGAAGAUAAUAAGGCUGCAAAAAAAAGGUCAAGAGGCAAUUUUGUAAUGAAUGGAGCAAACAUUGUAGAAGAUGACCAAAACAACUCUAAAAAGCGAAAAAAAGCUGGAAAUGAAAGCAAUCAACCCAAAAAAAUUCAAGGGAAAGUACUUCAACUGUGGCAAGAUUGGCCACAAAUCUACGAAUUGUCGUGCCCCGAAGAAAGGAAAAAAGAAGGACCAAGCAAAUCUGGCUGAGUCUAAGAAAGAAAUGAAUGAUCUGCGUGCUAUGCUUUUUGAAUGCAACUUGGUGGGAAAUCCUCGCCAAUGGUGGAUAGAUUCUGGUAUCACCUACCAUGGUUGUGCUAAUAAGGAGUGAUUUUCAACAUUUGCUCCGGCUUAAGCAGAUGAAAAGAUAUACAUGGCAAACUCCGCUACUGCAAAAGUAGAAGGAACAAAAAAAGUGUGCUUGAAGAUGACUUCCGGCAAAGCGUUGACACUUAACAAUGUCUUGUAUGUUCCAGAGUUACGGAAGAAGUUGAUUUCAGUUUCACUUCUAGACAAAAAUGGAUUCAAAUGUAUAUUUAUUUCCAAAAAAACUGUACUUAGUAAAGGAGAAGUGUAUGUAGGAAAAGGCUACCUUAAUGAGGGCCUAUUCAAAAUGAAUGUAAUGAAUAUUAAAAUCAAUAAAAGUUCAAUUUCGUCCUACUUGCAUGAGUCUUACGAUUUGUGGCAUGGACGAUUAGGUCAUGUUAAUUAUAAAACAUUAUAAAAAUUGAUUAACUUAGAAGUUUUGCCAAACUUUGAGUGCAAUAAAUCAAAAAUCAAAGUAUGCUAAGCAUUUGUAUAAGUCCGUUGAAAGGAAUUCCAAUCCCUUAGACUUAAUCCACACUGAUAUUUGUGAUAUAAAGUCAACACCAUCACGUGGUGGUAAAAAGUAUUUCAUAAUUUUUAUUGACGAUUGCACUAGAUAUUGUUAUGUAUACUUGCCAAAUAGUAAGGAUGAAGCAAUAGAUGCAUUUAGGCAAUACAAAACUGAAGUUGAAAAUUAGUUAGAGAAAAAGAUAAAAAAUAUAAGAAGUGAUAGGGGCGGAGAAUAUAAAUCUUCCUUCGUCAAAAUAUGGGUAGAGAAUGGAAUUAUCCAUCAAAAUACGGCCCCGUAUUCACCUUAAUCUAAUGGAAUUGCGGAAAGUAAAAUCUGAACUUUGAAGAAAAUGAUGAAUGUCUUACUUAUAAGUUUAGGUUUACCGUAAAGCUUGUGGGGGAGGCUCUCCUUACAUCCAACUGAAUACUCAAUAGAGUUCCCCAUAAUAAGACACAAUUAAUUCCAUAUGAAGAAUGGAAAGGAAGGAAACCCAACUUGAAAUACUUUAAAGUGUGGAGGUGCCUAGCAAAGGUCCAAGUUCCUAUGCCAAAAAGGGUUAAGAUAGGACCUAAGAUGGUGGACUGCGUGUUCAUGGAAUAUGCUAAAAGUAGUAAAGCAUGUCGGUUUUUGGUUCAUAAAUUCAAACAUCCGGAUAUUAAUGAAAAUACGGUAAUUGAAUCAGAUAACGUUGAGUUUUUUGAAAAUAUUUAUCCGUAUAAAACUAGACAUGAACGGUCUAAUAGGGGGUCUAAACGACCUCAAGAUGAACCAAAUGAGAAUUUACAUAAUGAUGAGAAUCCAAGACGUAGUACACGUCAAAUAACAUCAACUUCAUUUGGAUCGGAUUUUAUAAUAUUUCUCUUAGAAAAUGAGCCUCAAACAUUUAAGAAAGCGAUGGGGUUUCGGACUCAUUCUUUUGAAAAGAGGCAGUCGAUAGUGAGAUUGAUUUAAUCUUAAGCAGCCAUACGUAGGAGUUGGUUGAUUUUCCUCCAGGAAAAAAACCUUUAGGUUCUUAAUGGAUCUUCAAAACAAAAAUAAAAGCGGAUGGUACUAUUGACAAAUACAAGGCGAGACUUGUAGUAAAAGGUUUCAAACAGAACGAAGGCCUUGAUUACUUUGAUACAUACUCGCUAGUAACAAGGAUAACGUCGAUUCAAAUGUAAUUGCCUUGACGGUGGUAUAUGGUCUUGAAAUCCAUCAAAUGGAUAUGAAAACCGUGUUCCUAAAUAGAGAAUUGGAGAAAGAAAUUUACAUGGAACAGACUGAGGGUUUUUUGGUUCCAGGAAAAUAAAACAAGAUGUGUAAACUUGUUAAGUCACUUUAUGGACUAAAACAGGCACCUAAAUAAUGGCAUGCAAAGUUUGACCAAACCAUGUUGGCUAACGGGUUUAAGAUUAAUGAACGUGAUAAACAUUUUUAUAUUAAAGACACUCCAAAUCACCAAGUCAUUGUUUGUUUAUAUGUGGAUGAUAUUUUGAUUAUCAGUAGAUACAUUUCUGACAUAAAUGCAACGAAAAGAAUGCUCAAGAGCAAGUUCUAUAUGAAAGACCUUGGAGUUACGGAUGUGAUCUUAGGGAUAAGAAUCAAUAGAACUCCACAAGGGUUGGCAUUGUCACAGUCUCACUAUAUCGAAAAGGUACUUGAAAAAUUUAAGUAUAUGAAAAUUGGUAUUACCAAGACUCCAUUGGAUGUGAGCUUUGCACUUUGAAAGAAUGAAGGUGAAAGUGACUCACAAUUAGAGUAUGCAAGAGUAUUGGGAUGUUUAAUGUAUAUAAUGAAUUGUACACGACCAGACAUAGCAUGCGCUAUAAGUAAGUUGUGUUGGUACAUGAUUAAUCCUAAUAAAACUCAUUGGAUGGCAAUGAAAAGAGUUUUGGGGUAUCUUAAAUACGCUCAAGACUACGCUUUGCAUUAUAAUAAAUAUCCCGUGGUACUUGAAUGAUAUAGUGAUCCAAAUUGGAUCACUAGAUCGAAUAAAGUAAAAUCCACGAGUGGAUAUGUAUUUACUAUCAGUUGAGGAACGGUCUCUUGGAAAUCUUCCAAAAAGACAUGUAUUGCUCGCUCUACAAUGGAAUUUGAAUUUAUCUCAUUGGAUAAAGCCGACGAAGAAGCAGAAUGACUCCAGAAUUUCUUGGAAGAUAUUCCUUAUUGGCCCAAACCAAUGACACUAGUAUGUAUACACUGUGAUAGCCAAGCGGCAAUAGGUAGGGCGAGGAGUACGAUGUACAACGAAAAAUCUCGUCAUAUAAGACGGAGACAUAAUACCAUUAGAGAACUUCUCUCUAGUGGAAUUAGCAUUGUUGACUAUGUAAAGUUAAAUAAUAAUGUGUCGGAUCCACAUACAAAAGGCCUAUCUAAAGAAGGAGUUGAGAGGACAUCCAAGGGAAUGGGUUUAAGGCCUAGGACAAGUCAGCAUGGCGGUAACUCUACCUAGCAGACUGGAGAUCCCAAGAGCCAGGUUCAAGGAGAUCAAACAAAGUUGUGUUUGACAGGUUCAACAUUGUCAAUAUACCAACUCAUUCUCAUGAUGUAGACAAUGUUUAGUAAACAAGGAUAAGACUUAAGGUGAAAAGUCUUUUAAUGAUUAUUUAAAUUUGGCAGAUUUGACCAAAUAGUUUAAUCUAUAGGAUUGAACAUUUAGAAAUCACCUAUGUAAGGGUGAAGUGGAAGCCGCUUCAAGGAGAAUGUUAGUAAUGACCUAUUCCUUAAGCUCUCAUGAAACCGGAUGUGUUGAUGGCUGAAAAGAACAAAACUGUGAGAACCAUAAGCAGUAAAAGUCUGGUUGUAUGAUAUAUAUUAUCUAGGUUUACAUCAAAGCUCGACGGUUUAAAGAUAUCAAAUCUACAGAUUGACCAAGUGCAUCUGAUGCAUAUUCACUACGGAAAGUUCCUACUUAUCCAGAUGCAAUCAGUCUUUGCUAAAUGAUCACAUAUUUGUUCGUAUCUUUCUUCAAAAGAUAGUCAUUAUCUAUUCAUGUGGAGGAUUGUUGGGUUCAAGGUGUAUAUGUGAAUGGAAAAUGGAGGGAAAAUGGUGGAGGGAAUAGAGACAACAAAUUAGAAAGUGUACUCUUAAAAUUGAAAAGUUCACUAAUUCUCCCACAUUGGUGGCAGAAGCGAACUUUGGAGUGUUUUUAAUAAGGAACACUAACUUUAAAUGGAUAGUGAGGCAAUAACAAGGUGGUGCUUCACACCGUCGUCGUCGUCGCUCACUCGGCUUCGGCUUCGGCUUUGGCUUCGAAAAAUGAUCGAUCGAUGAGAUCUAUCUUUUUAGACGAAUUUUAUUUGAAACUUGUUUUACAAGUGAAAAAUUUAAUCCAAAAAUCUGAUAUAAUUAUUUUUCUCCAAGUGCGGGCGCAAUUUUGACGCCAUGCAAAAGCAUACGCAAUGCAUCACGAAGGGAUGCGACCCUUCGAGGUAAAAGGCACACUGUUUCAAGCUGUAGGGUGACCUGCGGGCGCAGAUGCAGUGCAGGUAUGCGACCUGUGGGUGCAGAUGUAGUGCAGAAGCUACUGAAAAUUGCAAAACGUCACUUGCGUCCACAGAUCAGGCACAGGUCCAGCACAGACGGGGCGCAGGGAUGUGACUGCUACUGAAUAGGUGCCUUUCUGCUAAACCAAUGCAUCCUUUCUGAAAAGACACAUUUAAGGCUAUAAAUACCUGAUAUAUUCCUCAGGUAUAGACAUAAUUUUUUACAGUAAAAUACUCUUCUUCUAUACAAAAACUCUGUGUGAUCAUUAAGUUGUUGAGCGAGUUUGACGAAUCCAACAAUUUGAGGUACUGCUAUUGUUUGGAUUGAAGGCCAUUUUAUCCUGGGAGGAAGAUUCCAUAACCUUGGGUACAGUGAGGGCCAUUAUUCUUUAAGGACACUUUGUGAAGUCGGGCGACUUGGCCUUAAAAAUUCUGUUUCAUCUCAUUUCUGAAAUUUAACACACUUUUUGGAUAGAUUAUUCAUAAUCUUGUGUUGAAGGUGUUAAAGAACUUCAUAAGUGUUCUUGUCUUAGACUUGAACUUGGGUUGGAGUUGUUGUUGCAUAUAUAUACAGAUUCUUGUACCCGAAAACAUCAAAAAUAACAGUUAUUAAUUUAGAACUCAAUAACAAGAAGAUUAGAAUCCUGAAACCCUAAGCUACAUAUUCUGGCUCCGCCUCUGCUGUAAGCACAUGAAAAUUCUUUUGAACAAUAGGGCCGUGAUGAGACUCAGAAUUCAAAAUAUUUUUCGAUUUUACUUCCAUGUUAAAUUGUUCAAAUCUUCUAAACUACAUGUUUAUACUGUUGAUGCAACACUUCCACAAAAACAAUUUUAUCUGAAUAUGCAUUUGAUAUAUACUCAAGAGUACUUUAGAAAGUGUAUAUUUUCCUCAAAUGCAGGAAGAGGGAGCAAAUAUUACCGUCAAUUCAUUGCAUCCAGGUUUAAUAAUGACUCCCCUCAUGAGGCAUUCCACCUAUUUGUCGAGUAAGUACAGUGUCUUACUCUCACAAAAGAUUAGUUUGAGUACACUCAAUAAUUUUCUAGAGCUUUACUUGGAUUUUCUAUGACAGAAUUCAUUAGGAUUUUUUCUUUCAAAUGGAAGAAUGUUCCUCAGGUAAAUCACUAAAUUCCAGCAAGGUUUUUAUGUAAAGAUAUUAAAUCAAUAACCGUAUGUAGCAUAAAUUUAGAUGCAAUAUGCAGAUAUAAACACUUAGCUUGAGUUAGGAGUAAAAAAAUUAUUUAACUGAUGGGGCGUCAAUAGCCAUACGACGUACUCAAGAACAAAUCACCUUAGGGUUAUUUUUGAUAGCUAGGGAAAUCGGGUUGGUGUUGUAUAGGGAUUUACACAAGGUGUUCAUUGACCUAGAAAAGACAUGAUAAAGUCCUUAGCGACGUCCUUUGGAGAUGUUUGGAGUCUAGAGGUAUACCUGUAGUUUACAUUAGUGCUAUUAAGGACAUGUAUUAUGCAUCCAAAACUCGGGUUAAGACAGUGGGAGGUUAUUAGAAUUAACGUCAAGUACAAAUGAACAUCUAUUUGAUAAUUAUGAAGCUAGGGGAAACACUGAUUGGUAUUGAAAAUGAUUCUAUUUUAUAGAGGGCAGCUACAACUUGUUAUGUUGCACUGCAUCCAAGUCUGAAGGGGGUCACUACAAUGUUCUUCAAUGACUGCAACGAGUAAGAGCCAAGCAAGCUAGCACACAACGAUUCACGUAAACUUUGGGAUUUCAGCAACAACAUGAUCAAUAAUUUGAAUGCAAUUCCUGAGUGAAACUGUUUUAGAACUGUGUUUGAGUUGAGCUUUUCUUGUUCUACUUCCAAUCUGUGUGGCCUUUUCUAUCUCUCUUUUUGGCCUGUGAUUUGGUUAUCAGUCACUGUAAACAUAUUCCAAUAGAGACUCGGCUCCUGUAGUUUCUUGUCCUUUGAUUUCUGUUACUAUCUUUUGUUUCUUGUACUUCAAUUAUCAUAUUAUUUUGUGUAGUUGUUGUGCAGAAUGCUUUGUAUGCUUUCACUUCUGCUUAUCUUUCUUUUUCUUUUUUGAGUUUACAUCUUGGAAUGUUUUUACCUUGAGUCGAAGGUCUAUCGAAACAGUCUCUCUACUUCUGCGAUAGGGACUCUAGGUACACUCUACCCUCAUACUAACAAAUUGAAAUAGAGGAUGUAUUUUUGUUUCCAAAUGUAUCAUGAGAAAAAUGGUUUUCUAGCCUUUUACAUUUUCUUUUAGUUACUACUAGUAUUAGUACCCCCGCGAUGCGCGAUCGAUAUUAAAUGAAAUUAAUUAUAAAAAUUAUUAUCUUAUUCAAUAUAAAAUUUAUUCAAUAUCGUUCACAUAUUGGAAAUUAAUAAAUUUAUGAAAUACGAAAAAUAACUAUUAAAAUAUUAAACUUAAUAUCAUAAUUACAUAAAACUUAAACAUUUCUUUUAGAAAGUUAGUAUCCGCGUGCAAAUAAUAUUAUAUUGUAAUAUAAUUAUUUGAGAAUAUUAAAUAAUAUUGUGAUCUAUAUUGAUUUAUUUUGUAAAAAAAUCAUAUGAUUACAAAAGAAAAUGCAUAUUUAACAUAUUUAUUAUUAAUUAAGUGACCUACUUCUAAAUUUGGUUAGAAAAACAAAGAACUAAUGAAAGAUAAGUUUUAGAGUUAUGCACAUGAGACUUCUUUGUAAAAUGUUGACUUGAAAUUUAAAUUCUUUUAUAUUAAAUAUUUUAAUUUGCACCCUUUUAUCAAGAGGAAGAAAUGAGUUUCCCCUUCUCUUUUCUUGUCUUAAUAGAUUUUUCUUUCAUAGUAGAUUUUGUAUUCCUUUGCACAUUCUUAGCCAUAGUAUAUUUUUUUAUAAAUUUACAAUAUUUUUCCAUCAAGGCAAAUAUUUUGAGCAAAGUCUUGAUAGUAGUCAAUUUUCCCUCUCUCAUAAUUUUUACUAUCAUUUUUUCAACAAAUAACUUAUAACAUUAUCUAAAGUCCUAACUUGUUUGCACGAUUUCACAAUGCUCACUUAUUCUCUUAUGAUAAUGGAUGGACCAACAAAUAUUAAUGAAUCUUAUUGUAUAUUAUUUUUUCUCAUAAAUGGUUUAGUCCGUCAUAGGUUUGAAUAUUCACUCUUCAACUCCAUUUUCGAUCAACCCUAUCAUACUUUCUCAGUUUACUCAUUUUGAAUGAAGUUAUAAAUAUUAAUCACUAUCGAAAUUGAAUCCUCUCCCAUCUUAGAACAUUCAACUAAUAUUUAACCCAUCUUGUUCAUCAGUACAAUAAGAUAUCAAUCUUAUUUAGUUUUAUCCUUUAUAUUGUACAAAGUAGAUCAAAAUAAUUAUUGCACCAAAAGAUCUACAAUAUUCUUAAAUUAGAGUUACAAAUAUAAAAAUAAACAUGAUUGAACUCAUUGCCAGUUUAAAUCAACUAAAAAAAAAAAAAUAAGAAAGUUUGUAGCAUAAUGUUUAUAAAUAACAAAUGAUAAAUGACCUUUACUUAGCUUUCACAUUAGUACAAUAUGCUACGUAAAAGUACAAUAAUAUUUGUAGUAAGAAUCUAAAUAUAAUGAAUUUGAAAAAAUCAAUAUUCAUAAGUAUUUGAUUUAUUGAAUUUGAGCAUUGCCCAUUGAGCAUCAGCGAUGAGAUACUCACCCAAAUUUUGAUUUUCGAGAUAUAACUUUUGAGAUAGUAAUCCUAGUGUCGGGUAAAUUUCAUAGAUAGUUAUACAACUAUCAUUUUUUUUACUAAGGUCACUUAACUAUCAUUCCCAAUUCAAUAUCACAAAACUUCUAAUAUACUAUUAAAAUCACACAAUUUAAUUUACAAAUUAAUUGUUAAUCAAAACAUAUAGAAAUAUAGUACAAACAAAUCAAGUGUUAAUCCUAAUAUAUAAAAAUAUAAUGGAUUAGUAAUUUAGUAUCAUAGUUUAUUAAUUUUUGAAAUCAUAGUAUUAUCUUACUAAAAUCUAAAGCAACAAUAUUUGCAAUGCAAGAAAAUCAACUACCUAAUAUCAAUAUUAGUUUCUUCAUAUUUAAUAUAUAAUGUGUAAUUUUUUAUAUUAUUGCUAAAAUUCUCAUUACACAUUUCGAUCAAGAUAAAUUUUUAUAAGUCUUUAAAAAUAUAUAACAUAUUAAAAGAUCACUAACUUAAAUCUUCAAAGAGUACAAAUUAUAUUUUUUUAUAAAAUAUAAAGUACAUGACUAUUGGCUCAUAAAAUUUUCACCAAACAUGUAGAAAAUAAAAUGAAUAUGCAACAUAACUUGUAUAUUUAGUUGACUUGAUAAAUCAAGAAAAAUAUAUUCUAAAACAAUACUCAAAGUAAAUUGAGAUUCUAGCGAUUAUCAGGACAAGAUAAGUUGUGGCAGAAAUCACUUGCACAAUUCAUCUUCUCCAAAAUAUUAUGACAGAAAUUAAUUAGCGUUUACUAAGUGUAGCCUUCUUAUAUAGUGGUAAAUUGUUAUGACAUUAGAACUUCUAGAUUAAUUACAGUUGGUACAAUAUUUUCAUAUAUAUGUAUAUAAUUGUUAAUUGAUUAUUCAUUUUCUAUUUAUAUGUCUCAAUCAAUUUCGUCAUGCUUUCUUAAUUGACUUACAUUGAAUGAAAUCAUAAAUACUUUUUGUCAUAUAAAUAUUCAUUUUAUGUUAGUACUUCAAUUGCAUAUAUUCUAAUUUAUUAGUAACUCACACCUACAUUUCAUCAUAUAAAAAUUAUUAUAAAUUUUUAUUGAUAUUUUUAUUAUUAAGAAAUAUUUAUUCCUAAUUCAUUUUACUGAUCUGCACAUUUAAAUUUUUAUAUAAGAUUUAAUUAAUUUUUGUUCAUCAAAAUGAAGUAUCUUUUUCAAAUUUGAUUAUUUUAAAAUUCGAAGUUAUUCUUACAGGCAUAUAUAAGGUUAUAUAAUUGGUCAAUUAAAGAAUAACAUUGUAAGGCAAAAUUUUAUUUGACUUCAAAUAUUAAUUAGGGCUAUGUAAUUUUAGUGGUUAUUUUCGAUAAACAUUAUGCAAUCUUUUCUGUGUAGUAAUAUUUAUUUUAAUUUUUUUAAUAUUUAUUUAUUUUUAAUCUACCCUCCUUUUAAAUUUAUGACUAUCUUUUAUUCAUUUCCUAAUAUAGAAUGAUAGUGUAAUUACUCAUUGAUAGUUAUUCUUAAUUAUGAAAAUCCUUUCAUUAAAUAUGAAUGUAUAUUGUUUUAAAUAUAGAUUAAUUAAAAUAUAUCGAAUGAAAAUCCUUCCAAUAAAUAUGAAUGCAUAUUUUUUAAAUAAAAUAUAUUGAAAUAAAUUUCUUUCAUUUUGUAGUCCAAAGUUACCAUUUGAGUGAUCACAUCUUUUUCAUAAUAUUUUUAAUUUUAGAAUAACGCUUUGAUUAUUAUAUAUUUAUUCCAUAUAAGUUGUUUGAUUACUAAUUGUUAUUCUCUUAAUUGAUAUUUCUUGAUACUUUCUUGAUUUAGUCAAUUGUAAUCAAAUCAUAAUUAUUCUUUUUUAUAUAAUAUUGUUAUUAAAAUUAAUUAUAAACACAUUUUGAGUGAUGACAUCUUUUUCAUAAUAUUUUUAAUUUUGGAUGGACUUAUUUUUCAUAAUAAUCUUUUUCAUAUAAGUUACUUGAUUAUUAAUUAGUUAUUCUCUAAUUGAUUUUCUUGUAAUACUUUCUUGAUUUAGUCAAUUGUAAUCAAAUCAUAAUUAUUCUUUUUUAUAUAAUAUUAUUAUUUAAAUUAAUUGUGUAUAUUUUCUGAGGGAUAACAUCUUUUUUCAUAGUAUUUUUUAAUUUUGAAAUGACUUUUUUAAUAUUAAAAUAUAUCGAAUGAAAAUCCUUUCAAUAAAUAUGAAUGCAUAUUUUUUAAAUAAAAUUACUUGAAAUAUAUUGAAAUAAAUUUCUUCCAUUUUGUAGUCCAAAGUUACCAUUUGAGUGAUAACAUCUUUUUUGAUUAUUUACUCAAUUAUAGUAAAAUCAUAAAUAUUUACUUUUUAUAAUAUUAUUAUUUAUGUUGUUUAAAUUAAUUGUUCACAUAUUUUACGGAAUGACAUCUCUAUUGAAAUAUUUUUUAUUUUGGAAUGACUUUUUGGUCAUAGUUAUUUUUUUCAUAUAAUUUGCUUAAUUACUAAUUGAUUAUUCACCAAAAUAAAUUUUGUUGCCAACAAAAUAGAUUCUUGUUGACAAAAUACCUACCAAGUGGCUAGUUCUCAAUAUGUCACUUGGCUUAAUUUUAGGCUAACUUCAUUACUUUAUUAUAUAUAUAGAUUACUCAAUUGUAGUAAAAUCAUAAAUAUUUACUUUUUAUAAUAUUAUUAUUUAUGUUGUUUAAAUUAAUUGUUCACAUAUUUUACUGAAUAACAUCUCUAUUGAAAUAUUUUUUAUUUUGGAAUGACUUUUUGGUCAUAGUUAUUUUUUUCAUAUAAGUUGCUUGAUUACUAAUUGGUUAUUCACCAAAAUAAAUUUGUUGCCAACAAAAUAGAUUCUUGUUGCCAAAAUACCAAGUGGAUAGUUCUUAAUAUGCCACUUGACUUAAUUUUAGGUUAACUUCUUUGUUUUAUUAUAUAUAGAUGUGAGUCAAGUCAAUAAUACGUGAACAAGUAAACAUCAAGUAGUGAUAGAAAUUGAGGGAUUAGAAACUAGUAGAAUGGUUCUGCUAAUACUUUAGGUGAUGGAGAGAAAUUAAAACAAUUUAGAUGUUGGUUUAAUGAAUUGUGAAUGGUGAUUUGCAGGUGGGAAAAAAAAUAUUAAAGUUGUUCCUAGUAUUUUUUUCGUCUUGAUUAAUUGAUAAUGUGUCACUUGUAUAUUUUUCAUGGUUUUCUCCAAAUUGUAGAGAAUAGAAGAAGAAAGGUGUAAUUGGAAAGACCUUCUGCUAGCCCAAGAUCGUUAACUAAGAUCGAAAGAUUCAACUAAAGAAGAGGAAGCUAUGAAAGUAGAAGGACGAUAUUGAAUAAGAGAGCAUGGGUAUAGAAUAAGACUACUUUAUAUGCUUUGUAUUGGAUUUUGUUUUUGGAUUAUGUUUUUGAUUGGUUACAAAUGCCUAAUGUCAUCCCCUAUUUAUACUUGUGUAGGGAUGAUUCUAGAUACUACAAAUCUAGAGUGUUCUAUGCUUUUCCACAAAUAUCUUCCUCAAAUAUUAGCACCCUCUAGUAGCUUGAUCUUUCAUAAAUACAAAUAUCAAAUAGACUGCACUAUCCUUUUCUAGAUUUUUCUGCCUAGAAUUACCUAGAAUAUUUAGAUAUUUCUUCAAGUUGAUUAUCCUAAACACUACACUAGACUAUUCUAGAACCUUAACUAGAAAUGAUCUCAAAAAAUCUACUUUAAUAUUUUCACACUCCCCCUUAAAGUAAUUUUUUGAAAGCUACCCUGAACUUGUCGCGGAAGAACUCAAACGAAGCUUUAAACCGCGCAUUAAUGAAAAUCUUAGCAAUUUUUGCAUGACUCCUCUUGCUUCUAUAAAUGAUAACGAUUUUUUGUUCAUAAUCGACCCUGCGAAGAAACAAGAAUAUGUAAUGAUAAAAUUUCCAUCUUUGUAGUGUACUGGCUUGAUGAUAGUCCUCGUUUGCCUUGGCGAACCAUAUGAAUCAUCUCUUUGCCAAAUUUUAUGUUGUUGAGUUUCUUGGCUCCCCCUUUCUCUUAACUCCUUGACAACUAUAUUAUUCAGAGAGACACCUAUAAUAGAAAAGUUAGAAACUCUAAGGUUUAAUUUUUGUAUUACCUUUCCUUCCAACACAACUCCAUAAUAUGAGGAAAUUUCAUCAAUAUUAGCUACUUCAUUUGAGUUGGUGAUGAUCUGAUCAUUGAUUCUCUUCGAAACAUCAUAACCAUCAGAGGGUUCACCACCAGUUCCUUUCCAACUCCUCAACAAACUAUCUAGCAGUUUCAUACAUUUCAAAAAUCAUAUGCUCUGUCUCUUUAUUUGAGAUUGAGACUUCAAGGUCAGCUUCUUCAUUUAUUUGAUUUUUUUCUUCUUCACCUACUUCUGGUGUAUUCUCUACGCUAGUGAGAGACCUUUUAUGGUAGAUGAUUGAUCAGAGACGUCAACUUUCAUUAUAUCUCUCUCAAUGUUUUCUCCCAAAAGGUCACCACUGGCAUGUAUAGUUUCAGACACUGCCUGCUCAGGUUCUAUCUCAAUAUCUUCGAAAAAGGUUCAAAAAUACCCUUGAACUAUCUGAAAUAGAUCAAAAAUGCCCCUCGUUAGAUAUUUGGCUCAAAAAUACCCCUCCGUUAAAUAUUUGGCACAAAAAUACCCCUCCCACUAACAGAAUUCGAAAAAGGAUCAAAAAUACCCCUAAACUAUUUGAAAUGGCUUAAAAUACCCCUCUGUUAAAUAUUUGGCUAAAAAAUACCCCUCCCUUUAACGAAAUUCCACCAAGCAUGCCACCUAGAUAAAAAAAAAAAAUACGUGACUAUGCCACAUUACCAUCCACAUGUAAAAUGUUAGUAUUUUUUAAAUUAUAUGACAUUCCUUUCUUCUUUAUUUUUAUUUUUAUUUUUUUGCAAAGCAGUGAAACGGAAAAACCAAAAAACCAAUCUUUUGCUAAUUACUUCAUUAGUGUUUUAAAAGUUCUAGAUUUCACCUUUUAUCUAGUGUUUUAAAAGUUUUAAAUUUCAUCUUGUUAUUGCCGUUUGGGAUGAGGGACAACUUGAUCUUGAUCUGAUGUUGACUCGGAGGAGGAGCUAGAAUUUUAACUUUUAAGCUAGCAAAUGUUGAUGUACUAAUAAUUGAGUUGAAUUUACUACAUGCAAAUUCUUUUUCAAAAUAAAUGAAUUCCUUUUAACACUUGUUUAAUCAUUCGAAAUGAAUUCAUUUUUCUAAAUUCAGUUUUGAUGAAUAAUCUUAUUAUUUUUAGAACAAGUUUGAAAAGAAGUAAAAUGAUACUUAAUAUGGAUAAAUUAUUAUUUAAUUAUGUCAUUCGUUAACUUUUUGAAGAUGUGUGCCACAUUCAAAGAUUCAUUAAUUUUAGAUUAGAGAAGGUAUUUAUUAAAUCAUUAUAACAUAAGCAUUUCGAGUAAAAGCUAGCAAAGCCAAACACAUCUUUUGAGUAACUAAUUUGAAGUUUAUUUUGAAAUUUGUUACUUUUAUGAGUAAAUCUUAAUUUUAACUUUUAUACUGGCCUAAUAAUUAAUGGUUUUAUCAGUUUAAUAAGGCUCUUUUGUUGGGUUUCACACUUUUAAACCUAUUGACAGGAAAAAACUUGCUUUUUAGAUGAUCAAAGGAAUUUGAUAAUAGCGAUGUUACAUUUAAUAAAUUUUUUCAAAAAAAAUAUUAUGUAACCACUGUUUGUCUACUUUGAUUAAAAAUGAAAAAGCCAUGUAAAUUUUGUCCGUUUCACUAACGUUUUUAAAUAAAAAUAAAGAAGAAAAGAAUGUCAUAUAAUUAAAAAAUACUAACAUUUUACAUGUGAAUGGUAAUGUGGCAUAGUCACGUAGUUUUUUUUAUCUAGGUAGCAUGCUUGGUGGAAUUUCGUUAAGGGGAGGGGUAUUUUUGAGCCAAAUAUUUAACAGAGGGGUACUUUUUAGCCAUUUCAGAUAGUUCAGGGGUAUUUUUGAUCCUUUUUCGAAUUCCGUUAGAGAGAGGGGUAUUUUUGGGCCAAAUAUUUAACGAAGGGGUAUUUUUGAGCCAAAAAUUUAACAAGGGGAAUUUUUGAGCUAUUUCAGAUAGUUCAGGGGUAUUUUUUUAGCCUUUUUCGCAAUAUCUUUCAUGUUCAAACUUUUGUUGAUAAUUUCAGGAUCUGCUUCUUUGAUUUCCUCGAUAGCAGAUACCACAUUUUUAGUAUCCCCUGGUUUUUUAUCAGUGUCUUCCUUCUUCUCAUGAUGGAUUGUAUCAUAUACGAUCCAAUCUCUUUCAAAUUUUAUGGAAGCCAAGGCAUUUAUUGCUCGACUCUCAGCUUCUAAGCAACUUUCCCAACCUUCUUCUUCUUCAAUAACUUUUUUAGUAUGAGCCAUGUUGCUCUCUGUGGCUCGACAAUAUCUUCUUAUAUGUCCUGCUUUUCCACACCGAUAACAUGUAAGAGCCUUCUUAGUAUAAUUGUUAAUAGAAUCUUCCUUCUUUCUAGACAGACUUGAACCACCUAAGAAUUUAUAGUGAGGCAUAUCUCUUGCUUUUCCUUUAAUGUUCCUCUUGUCAUCUAUAAGAGCAUUUUCUUUCCUUUCUUUGACAAAUUCACCAGCCAAUUGUUUGGCUAGUAACUCCUGUGCUGACAAUAAAUUCUCAAAUUCCUCCAAGAAUGGUUGUUGAUCCCAUUCUUGAAUUGAUGUCACAAAGAAAAUAUAUUAUGACUUCAAACCAUGACUAAUAUUUCUUCUUAUUCAUGUUUCAGAGAUAGCCUCAUUCAGAUUUAAUAGAGAGAUCUCAAAACAUAAAUUCUUAAUCCUUAAGAAAUACUCGACAAUAGAAAGAUUACCUAGAUUGGUGUUGACUAGUGCCUCAUUCUUUUUGUUGAAUAAUUGAUCGAGGGUCCUCCAUAUUUCAUGGUCUGAUAUGCAUCUUAUAAUAUGAUUGAAUAAACUAUAGGACAUGGAUCUCUUCAAAAUGAACUCCGCCUUCGCAUUAGUCUGGUUCUACUUCUUAUAUGCACCAUGAUUUUUUGUUCGUCGUCAGGAGGACUUGUAUUACUUUCGUUGAAAAUAUCUCACAAGUCCUCACCCACAAGGUAUGAUUCCAUACAUCUCUUUCAUACCUUAUAAUUGGACUGAUUUAACAACUUCAUUUCCAGUCCAUUACCACGACCCCUAAAAUCCAUUCGCACAAACCAGUUGAAUCAACCACAAACUCAAUCUUGAAAUAAACAUAAGUUAAUCUACGACAUUGGCUAUGAUACCAUGUAGAUAAUAACAGAAGACAGGUGUAAUUGGAAAGACCUUCUGCUAGCCCAAAAUCGUUAACUAAGAUCGAAAGAUUCAACUAAAGAAGAGGAAGCUAUGAAAGUAGAAGGAUGAUAUUGAAUAAGAGAGCUUAGGUAUAGAAGACUACUUUAUAUGCUUUGUAUUGGAUUUGGUUUUUGGAUUAUGUUUUUGAUUGGUUACAAAUGCUUAAUGUCAUCCCCUAUUUAUACUUGUGUAGCGAUAAUUCUAGAUACUACAAAUCUAGAGUGUUCUAUGCUCUUCCACAAAUAUCUCCCUCAAAUAUUUGCACCCUCUAAUAUCUAGAUCUUUCCUAAAUACAAAAAUCAAAUAGACUACACUAUCCUUUUCUAGAUUCUUCUACCUAGAAUUACCUAGAAUAUCUAGGUAUUCUUCAAGUUGAUUAUCCUAAACACUACACUAGACUAUUCUAGAACCUUAACUAGAAAUGAUCCCAAAAAAUCUACUUUAAUAUUUUUACAAUUAUUGUUUCUAGGUGACAACACUAUGUUUCUUCCGUUUCAAAGAGAAUGACCUAUUUUGACUUGGUAUAGAGUUUAAGAAAAUAAAGAAGAUUUUUAAAUCUUGUGAUCUUAAAUUAAAGUUAUAUCAAAUGUACCAAAAUAUCCUUUAAUAUUGCGGUCUUAAUCAUGUUCUGUAGAAAGUUAAAAUUAAAGUAUUAUAAAAAAAAGAGUCAAGUUAUUUCAUGGGUUUUAUUAGUACUUCUCUUACCAUUUUUUAAAAUUAUGUGAAUUUAAUGAACUAAUCAUUACGAGGUCAUGCUUCCUUCAGCAUCAAUAAACCCUUUCGAUACAGAGAAUAGCAGAAGAAAGGUGUAGUUGGAUAAAACUUCUGCUACCCCAAGACCGUUUAACUAAGAUCAAAAGAUUCCACUAAGAAGAGGAAUCUAGAGAGAAGAGGCUUUGUUAUGGAAGAAGACUUCUUGAAUUGGAUUAUUUUUGGUUGGUUACAAAUGCUUGAUGUUAUUCCCUAUUUAUACUUGUGUAGGGAUGAUUCUAGAUACUACAAAUCUAUAUUAUUCUAUCCUCUUCCACAAAUAUCUAACACUCUAGAAUAUCUAGAUCUUUCUUAAAUACAAAUAUCAAAUAGACUACAUUUUCUAGAUUCCUCUACCUAGAAUUACCUAGAAUAUCUAGAUAUUUCUUCAAGAUGAUUAUCCUAGAAAUUAGACAAGAUAUUCUAGAAAUUUUACUGGAAAAACAAUGUUAUCCAAAAAAUCAACUUUAAAUAUUCUUCAGACUCCCCCUUAAAUUAAUUUUUUGGAAGUUAUCCAAACUUUUUAUAGAAGAACUCAAUCGAAUCUUUUGAACGUGACUUGGUGAAGAUCUCAAUAAUAUUUUUCCAAAUCCUCUUUCUUCUUGAUAUGAUAAAGGUUUUUCAUCAAUAACUGAGCCUAAAAAGAAACAUGAAUAUUAAUUGACAAAAUUUUCAUCCUUGAAAUAGGCUAGCUUGACAAUAUUUCUUUGUGGUUUAAAAUCGAACAAAAAAUAUCUCCUUACUGAAUUUUCGAGCUCCCCCUUUCUUUUAACUUCCCAGUAGUUGUACUAUCUGAAGAAACAUCUUUAAUGGGCAUGUUUGGAACUCUAAUGUUCAAUAUCUUAGAACAUGCUCCUUCUAAGGAAACUAUAGGAUGCAAGGAGAUUUCAUCUGUACCAUUCUCCUCAUUUGAUUUGAUGACAAUCUGAUCAUUAAUUUUUCGUGAAUCCUCAGUACCAUAAUAGGAUCCAUCACGAAAUUUCCUAUCUAGUUCUUCAAUCAUACUAUGUCUCUUUUCAUCUAAAAUUGAGGUUUCUCUUUCAACUUCGUCAUUCAUUGAAUCGUUAGCUUCUUCAUCAACUUCUAAUAUUUUCUCUAAGACAAUGAUUGAACUUAAUAGAUAGAUGAUUGAUCAGAGACUUUAACUUCUAUUAUAUCUCCCUUGAUAGUUUCUCAGAAAAAGUCAUCACUGACAUAUUGAGUUUCAAACAUUGUUUUCUUAUAAUCUACUUUAAUAUCCUCUGUGUUCAGACUUUUAUAAUCAUUUUUGGGAUCCGCUUCUUUGAUUUCCUUGAUAGUAGCUAUGACGUCACCAGUCUGAAUGUCUUUAGUACCAUCUUGCUUCUUAUCUGUUCCUUCCUGCUCUACAUGAUAGAUUAUAUUAUAUCCGAUCCAAUCUCUUUCCAAAUUAAUAAAAGCCAAAGCAUCUAUUUCUCGACUUUCAGCUGCUAAGUAUCUUCCCCAACCUUCUUCUUCUUCUUCAAAAACUUUUUAAAUUUGAGUCAUGUUGCUCUCCGUGGCUUGACAAUAUCUUUUUAUAUGUCCUUCUUUGCCACACCAAUAACAUCUGAGAGGUUUCUUAGUAUAAUUAUUAAAAGUCUCUUUCUUCUUUCCUGGUGAUCUUGAACCACUUGAGAGUCGAGUGUGAACCAUAUCUCUUACUUUUUCUUUAACGUUUCUCUUGUUAGCUACAAGAAAAUUUCCUUCCUUUUCUUUAACAAAUUCACCAUCCAAUUGUUUGGCUAGUAACUCCUUUGACGACAACAAAUUCUCAAAUUUCUCCAGGAAUGAUUGCUUAGCCCAUCCCUGAAUUGAUGUCACAAAGGGAAUGUAUUCUAUUUUCAAACUAUGAAUGAUAAUUUUUCUCAUUCAUGCUUCAGAGAUAGCCUCGUCUGUAUUCAAUAAAGAAAUUUCAAAACAUAAGUUCUUAAUCUUUAAAAAGUACUCGAUAAUAAAAAGAUUACCUUGAGUGGUGUUCACCAAUUCAUUCUCUAAUCUUUGUAGCCAGGCUUCAUUCAUCUUAUUGAAUAACUGGUCGACGGUCCUCCAAAUUUCAUGAGCUGAUUUACACCUUAUAAUAAGGUGAAAUAAAAUAGGGGAUAUGGAUCUCUUCAGAAUGAACUCUGCCUCCACACAUUAAUCUGCUUCCACUUUUUAUAUGCACUACUAUUCUCAAGUCUGUCAUCUAGAGGACUUGUGUUACUCCCAUUAACAACAUCCUACAAAUCCUCGCCCACAAGGUAUAAUUCCAUACAUGUCUUCUAUACCUUGUAAUUGGACUAAUUCAACAGCUCCAUUCCCAGUCUAUUAAUGCGACAACUUAAAUUUAUUCGAACAAAUGAGUUGAAUCGACCACAAAUCCGAUCUUGAAAUAAACACAAGUCAAUCUAUGACUUUGACUCUGAUACCAUGUAGAGAAUAAAAGAAUAAAGGUGUAAAUAGGGAGAUCUUCUACUAGCCGAAGAUCGUUUAAUUAAGAUCGAAAGAUUCAACUAAGAGGAGGAAGCCAAAAAGAAGAGGCUUCGUUAUGGAAGAAAACUUCUUGAAUUGAAUUGUUUUUAAUUGGUUACAAAUGCUUGAUGUCAUCCCCUAUUUAUACUUGUGUAGGAAUAAUUAUACUUGUGUAGAGAUGAUUCUAGAUACUACAAAUCUAGAGUAUUCUUCCUCUUCCACAAAUAUCUAGCACUCUAGAAUAUCCAGAUCUUUCCUAAAUACAAAUAUCAAAUAGACUACAUUUUCUAGAUUCCUCUAUCUAGAAUUACCUAGAAUAUCUAGAUAUUUCUUCAAUAUGAUUAUCCUACAAAUUAGACAAGAUAUUCUACAAACUUUACUAAAAAAAACAAUGUUAUCUAAAAAAUCAACUUUAAAUAUUCUUCACAUCCGAUUGGCUCAUGAUGUUUAAGCAUGAUAAAUCACUUUGCUUCGAUAUGCUGCAAUGAUAAAAUAUAUGGUUGCAAUUGCCCUAUGUAUAAUGUUGGUGAGUCUAUUCAGAGGCUACAUCGUCUUAAUAGAAUUAUCUUGUUUGAAGAGUUAAGAGACCUUUGUAUUGAGAGACGUUUUUAUUUUUAAAGUGUCCUUUGUGAUCUGGAUAGUUCAGACCUAUUUGAUUUGUGUAAGGUAAUUGGUUGAUAUAUGUGUGAGUGUAUAUGCUUAAUUGUGUUAACGUACAAGUAAAAUAGAGAGAUAAGAGAGUUUCAUAAUAAUGAAAUAAAUGCAAUACAAUCUCAAUCUCUCAUACAACAACAACAACAUACCUAGUGUAUUCAUACAUAAUAGGGUUUAGGGAACGUAAAAUGUAUAUAGUUCAAACCACUAUCUCCGAAGAAGUAUUACCAGAAAUUUGUUGGUCUUUUGUGGACAUUCCAUCCGUCAAAAUUUGGCUCGUGGGUUUCGGGCUUUCGAUGAAAAAAUUAUUGAAACAUUAAUAAAAUAUCAUUUUUUUCAAUAGAUUCCGUCAAUAAUUAGCAAUUUAACGACCCAUAAAAUUUGAAAAGUUCAAAAUUACUUGGACCCAUACACCCUUACCACAACCUUUUUGGGCUCAAGAAAUUUAAUCAAAAUCAAACUAUAUAAACAAGGAUUAUAUUUAGUGUCGUUUUUACUCUAUCAUAGAAGCGAAUGAGAGGAGCUUAGGGUAAGUUUUAAUAAUGAUAACUAAAUUCUCUAAUAAGAAGAUGAUUGAUUCUCAAAAUUCUAUUGAUGCCACAUAAAUUGGGACAACUAUUUGAAAAAUGAUAUAAAAACUACUAUAAAUCAUAUUAAUUAACAACUUAAAAUAUUUUAAAGACAAAAAUGAGAAUGAGAGGAGCUUAGGUCAACUUUUAAAAAUUACAAGUAAGCUCCUCAAAGUCCUAUUAUGACUAUUUGAGGAGCUUAGGCUCAGUUUGCGAAAUGACCAUUUCGCCCUUUUUCUUCUCCAGAAUUACUUAUAUUUAUUUGAAAUUUACGUAAAAAAAAAACUAUGAAUCACAAUAACUAAUUUUAAAAUAUUUAAAAAACAUAAUUAGAAGGGAAUGUUUGAAAAGCUCAGAGUCAAGUUUCCAAAUGACAACUAAGUUCCUCAAAGUCUCAUUUAUUACAAUUUGAGGAGUUUUUAAAAUGACAACUGAGCUCCUCAAAGUCUCACUUAUUACUAUUUGAGGUGUUUCACAAACUACAACUAAGCUCCUCAAAGUCCCACUUAUUACUAUUUGAGGGUUUCAAAAAUAACAACUAAGCUCCUCAAAGUUUCACUUAUUACUAUUUGCGGACUAUUAUAGAAGGGAAUGUUUGAGGAGCUUAGGGUCAAAUUUUCAAAAUGACAACUAAGCUCCUCAAAAGUCUCACUUAUUACUAUUUGAUGAGUUUCCAAAAUGACAACUAAGUGUCCCGACCCGAACCAGGGCUUGGCCGUGGCGGGUAGCUCAAGUCCACUGAGGACCGGAGACCACCCCCUUGCUUAGCCAGACAAAACAUAAUACAGCUAGCAAUAGAUGAAUUCCGAACAUAUAAUAAGAUAGAAUACUGUAAACUCAAAGGAGUCUAAGAAUAUCAACAACAAUACCCAGUCUAUAGUAAUUCACAAAGCCUCUAACAAAACCAAAUCAAUCUAAGUUGGGACAUGCCCUCGAAGAUUGCCAAAAAUAAGUUCAAAGAAAAGUAUAUGAUAAUAGAUAAACCAAAAAGCAACGACCUUCUGGAAGAAGGAGUCCCUCUACUCCAAGCUGAAUGUUGAUAAUUCAAAAGUUGUAUCACUACACAGGAAAAGUAAAAGUGCCUUCGGAUCCUGCAUGACAUGGGGAUACAACAUCUGGAGACAGUUAGUGGUUGAGUGCUAGCAUACAACUCAGGGAUAAGGGGUAAAGCAAUGUCAUGAUCAAAAGUUCAAAAUCAUUCAAAAUAAAUCCAGACAACCAUAUGCAAAUAUAUAUACAUGUGAUAUAUAUAUCACAUGCCGAGGUAGGGAACAAGGCUUAACAUGAACUUUAAAAUCUUAACCUAGAUUGUGUAGCUCAUCCAUCAUAAAAAGGCACCCACGGGCUAUAUGGGUUCAACUGUCCCCUAGCUAAAAGGGCCCAGUGCGUGUAGCCAUAAGAACCAAAGAAUAAUCAUAUGUACAUAUGUAUCAUGGGGGACUGAAACCUCCCAUACAUAUAUCAAGGGUGACUUAAGCACCCAUUCAUUUAACAUGAGGGGCUUGAACCAUCCAAUCAUUUAGUUAGAGGGACUGGAAUCGUCCGAUCAUUUAUACCCCUACGCUGGCAAAUAAGAUUUUCAUUAUUGAUCCCUCGGAACCUACACUUUUACAGCCCAGUAUCACAACGCCCUUUAAUCCAAAUAAAAAUAUUUUUCACACAUUCCCAUUCAUUGAAACAAUUCAUACAUUAAGACAUACCAUUGGUAUCUCAUACCAACUUCAUUUGCAAGCUAAUACGGUCAUGCCAUAUCAAUUAACCAUUAACAUGGGGGAAUUCAUGACCUCUAUAGGUUAAUUACUCAUUCAUAUGUGGAAUCCACAAUCCCUGAGUUUCAAUAAAAAUCAAUUCAUAUUUCAAAAUGCCUUUUUAUGUCAUACAAUGGUUUCAAAGAUAUUUUCAAUGUGCAUGUACUCAUAUUCAAAGACAAAUUCAAAAUAUUAGGUUGAGGUCAUACCAACUCAAUUACCAAAAUUUACAAAAUUGGGAGAAACCAUGUCCCCUUAGUUUAUUCAACAUAUUCAUGCACCCCACAAGUUCAAAACCAUAAAUAAAGUAUGAACAAUGCAUAUUUAAAUCAUAGGAAUCUAAUUUAAGAAAUAUUCAUUCAAAAAUCCUCAACCCAUAUGAAAACUCAUGUUCAAAUCCACAUAAACAAUCAUAUAAUUUUAUGCUUUAUGUAAAACAAGUUUAAUGGUAGAGUCACAUGCCUGAAUAUCAAGAGUUAUGGAGAAGAAAUGAUGAAUUGAGCCCCUAGAUUUUCAACCUUGAGAAAACCUAACUUGCUCUUGCUUGAGGAUUUGAGAGAAGAGAUAAUGUGUUUUUGAUGUUUUAUGGAUGAAAAUGGGGGGAAAAUAGUGAGAAAAAUGUCCAAAAUGCCCCUUAAUAAAAGACUAAAAAACGGUCGCCUAGUCAUUAUGGGUGACCUUAUGACUCUUCUACACACUCGUAGUCUGGACUGUACCCAUGGGCACCCACACUAGUAUGACUACAAGUCGUACCAUAUGACUCAUACUCAGACAUUACUACUCGUAGGGUCCAAGUCGUACUCAGGACAUGGUCUUCGGCACUCAUACUGAUGAGACUACGAUUUACACUGUAUGACUCGUAUGAGUCUUAAUGACUCGUUGGGUACAAACAAUGAUCAACAUAGAAACACAUUGGUGCGACUACAAUUUGGGUCCUACUAUCCGUAAUGACACCCUACGACUCAUAAGGAGAGUCGUAGUCUGGUGAGCUCAAAUGUCUAGAAGUUUUCAAGGACCAAAAUUUGGGGUGUUACACUUAGCUUCUCAAAGUCUCACUUAUUACUACUUGAGGAGUUUCUAAAAUGAUAACUAAGCUCCAAAAAGUUCCACUUAUUACUGUUUGGGGAGUUUAAAAAAUGACAACUUAGCUCCUCAAAGUCCCACUUAUUACUAUUUGAGGACUUCUCUAGAAUUACUUAUAUUUAUUUAAAAUUUACGUUAAAAAUGCUAUAAAUUACAUUAAUUAAUUUUAAAAUAUUUAGAAGUGUAUAGUAAAAGAAAGAUUGAUUCUCAAAAUUCUAUCGAUGUUGCAUAAAUUGGGAUAAUUAUUUGAAAUAAUAAAUAAAGUACUGUAAAUCAUAAUAAUUAGCAACUUAAAAUAUUUAGAAGACAUAUAAAAAUAGAAUGAGAGGAGCUUAGAGUCAAAUUACAAAUAAGUUCCUUAAAGUCCCACUUAUUACUAUUUGAGGAACUUAGAGUCAGUCUAUGAAACGAUCAUUUUUCCUUUCUACUUCUCCAGAAUUACUUAUAUUUAUAUGAAAUUUAUGUUAAAACCCUAUGAAUCACAAUAUUAAUUUUAAAAUAUUUAAAAUACAUAAUAAAAAAAAUGAGUGAUUCCCAAAAUUCUAUUGGUGCCUCAUAAAUUGGAACAAUUAUUUUAAAGUGCUAUAAAUUAUAAUAAUUAAUAAUUUAAGAUAUUUAAAAUACAUCAAAUGUUCGGUUGACUCUCAAAAUAAUAUCAUAGUUAGAAAUACAAUAAAUCAUAAUACUAAUUAACAACUUAAAAUAUUUAAAAUCAUACAAAAAAUUGAUUGACCGUCUAAAUUUCAUCUGUGUUACAUAAAUUGAACACAUAAAUUGGGACAGAUAGAAUAUCAUAUAUUAUUUGAAAAUAAUGUUAAAUUUUUUAAAAUAAUUAACAACUUAAAAUACCUUAAAAUGAUACAAAAACUUUGAUCAACUUAAAUUUUCAUCUAUAUAACAAAAUUUGAGACAAAACAGAAAUUAUGUAGAAAAUACAAUAAAUCAUAAUACUAAUUAUCAACUUCAACUAUUUAAAAUCAUAUGAAAAAAAUUGAUUGAUUGUCUAACUUUCAUUGUGUUUGCAUAAAUUGUGAUAAAAAAGUAACAUAUAUUUGGGAAUGAGCUCUCCGGAUCUAGUAUAUAUAAGAGAAAUGUAUAUAAGAAGUUUAUGUCAUCGAAAAAAACAUAUAAGAAAUUCGUCUCUGAUUUCUCAUUACAAUCUCAAUUAUGAUUCACUUUUACCUCCAAAAGGUGGAGAUAAGAUAUGGCGCAUAUACUUUAUUCUUAUCAGACCUCACUUGUGGAAUUUCACUUAAAUGUUGUUAUAAUAUCAAUUAUGAUUCAUGAAACAAUUAAACAAGAUGAUACUUACGAGUCAUUAUGCACACCCAUAGUCUGGACAGUACCCAUGGGCACCCACACUGAUCUAACUAUGAUUCGUACCAUAUGACUCGUACUUAAACAUUACUACUCGUAAGGUCCAAGUCGUACUCAGGACAUGAUCUUUGGCAUCACACUGAUGAGGCUACGAUUUACACUGGACGACUUGUAUAAGUCUUAACGACUAAUUGGGUACCAAUUGUAAUCAACAUAAAAAACACACUGGUCUGACUACGAUUUGGAUCCUACGAUCCGUAAUGACACCUUAAGACUCGUAGGGAGAGUCGUAGUCUGGGCAGUGAGCUCAAAGGUCUAGAAGGUUUUAAGGACCAAAAUUCAGGGUGUUACACUAAGCUUCUCAAAGUCUCACUUAUUACUACUUGAGGAGCUUCAAAAAUGACAACUAAGCUCUAAAAAGUUUCACUUAUUACUGUUUGGGGAGUUUCAAAAAAUGACAACUUAGCUCCUCAAAGUCCCACUUAUUACUAUUUGAGGACUUCUCUAAAAUUACUUAAAUUUAUUUAAAAUUUACGUUAAAAAUGCUAUAAAUUACAAUAAUUAAUUUUAAAAUAUUUAAAAGUGUAUAAUAAAAGAAAGAUUGAUUCACAAAAUUCUAGCGGUGCUGCAUAAAUUGGGAUAAUUAUUUAAAAUAAUAAUAAAAAAUACUGUAAAUCAUAUAUUUAGCAACUUAAAUUUUAGAAGACAUAUAAAAAUAGAAUGACAGGAGCUUAGGGUCAACUUUCAAAAAUUACAAAUAAGUUCCUCAAGGUCCCACUUAAAACUAUUUGAGGAACUUAGAGUUAGUCUGUGAAAAGAUCAUUUCGCCCUUCUACUUCUCCAGAUUACUUAUAUUUAUAUGAAAUUUAUGUUAAAAACCUAUGAAUCACAAUAUUAAUUUUAACAUAUUUAAAAGACAUAAUAGAAAAGUAUGACUAAUUCCCAAAAUUCUAUCGGUGCAUCAUAAAUUGGAACAAUUAUUUUAAAGUGCUAUAAAUUAUAAUAAUUAAUAUUUUAAGAUAUUUAAAAUACGUCAAAUGUUUGAUUGACUCUCAUAGAAUAUCAUAUAUUAUUUGAAAAUUAUGUUAAAUUUUUUUAAAUAAUUAACAACUUAAAAUACCUUAAAAUGAUACAAAAAUUUUGAUCGACUCUUAAAUUUUCAUCUAUAUAAUAAAAUUUGGGACAUAACAGAACUUAUGUAGAAAAUACAAUAAAUCAUAAUACUAAUUAACAACUUCAACUAUUUAAAUCAUACGAAAAAAUUAAUUGACUGUUUAACUUUCAUUGUGUUUGCAUAAAUUGUGACCAAAAAAGUAACAUAUCUUGGGCAUAAGCUCUCCGGAUCUAGUAUAUAUAAGGAAGAGGUAUGUAAGAAGUUUAUGUCGUCGUCAAGAAUAUAUAAGAAAUUCGUCUUUGAAUUCUCAUUACAGUCUCAAUUAUGAUUCACUUUCACCUCCAUAAGGUGGAGAUAAGAUAUAGAUGCAUAUACUUUAUUCUUAUGAGAUCUCACUUGUGGAAUUUCACUUAAACAUUGUAAUAAUCUCAAUUAUGAUUCAAGAAACAAUUAAACAAGAUGAUACUAUAAGAUAUACUCCCUCCAUUUCGUUUUAGUUGUCCCUUGUUGACUCGACACUUUUAUUGAAAAAAUAUUUGUUAGGAGUGUAUUUAAUUAAAAUAGUCUUAUAAACUAUAUUUUGAAAAUAUAAAUUUGAUUAUAUACACUUUACAUAGUCAUUUAAUGAUAGGUGUAGUAUUUGAAGAAGAUAAUAAACUUCUCUUGAUUUUAUAAAUUAAACAACUAAAUUGAAACAAAAUUUUUAGUAAGAGGUCAACUAAAAUGAAACGGAGGAAAUUGUAUAAUGAUAGGGUAAUAAUAGAAGAACAUAAUAAACUUUUCUUGAUUUUAUAAAUUGAAGUAUUGAAAAACUACUUUUAGUUAGAGGGUCAACUAAAAUAAAAUAGGAGUUGUGUAUAGUAAAUUUAUAAAAAGCUAAAUGAGAUAAAAAUGGAAGAAAAAAAAAAUCUUAGAAAAAUGAAUAACAUUUUUAUUGAUGACUCAUUUCAUAAAUAGACCAAAGUCCAUGCUUCAUUAUAGGUACAUCAUUAAUAGGGAGAGUUGAAAUAUUCGACCUAACAAUGGUAAGUACUAACACAACUCAAUGGGCCUUUAUCACCAGCACCACUACAAACUUCAUUUCCUUUAUAAAGCUUCAUACAAUAAACAAAACACAUAUUGCAAUCGUCUGGCUCAGUUAAAGUCUCAACACAUUCUUUUGGUGGAGUUGAGAUGGUUGAGCUUUCACUCGAGUAUUUGUCAUUCCAACUACAUCCAAAAAUUGAACAACAAAACAUUAGUAGUAUAUCAAGUGAAUAAAUCUUUUUGUGAAAAUUGUAAGAGUUAGUUGAGAUAUCACUUUCGAUGCAGAAACAUCAACAAGAGUGUCAUGAAUUUUGACUUUACAAGUGAAAAAUCUAAGAUACGUAUGGUCAUAGCUUUUGAAAUUCGUAAUAGUAGAGAGGAAAAUAUCACUACCAAUUCUAGAAUUUCAUCCAAAAAUACUGUGAUGGAAUUUAACAUUUUUAAACUCGAAAUUUCUAAUAGUCACGACUUCAAAAGAUCGGAUCUUUUUUUAAUGAUUUUUAAAUCAACGACCGUCAUACCUGAUUUUUACCUAAGGUCAAAACGAGCACAACAUUAUGGACUCAAAAGAAUUAAUUUUUAUACAGAGUCGCCACCUAAUUUUUAAGGAAAAUAAGAAAACCUAUUUAUUUAUUAACAAGUAUGACUUGUAUUUUAAUUUACGAAUCAAUUUAAAUUCUAGGUAAGGGUUCAAAUUAUUUCAUUUAUUUAUUAGCAAGUAUGACUUGUAUUUUAAUUUAUGAACCAAUUUAAAUUUUAGGUAAGAAUUCAAAUUAUUUCGAAGGAAAAGAGUUAGACACCCUUCAGAAUCCACAAAUGUGGUUCUUGACCAGACUUAGGUUAUUAUUAAAAAAGCAAAAGAAAAAUCAAUGUUUCUAAAUGCAACUAUAAAAUAUGUAUUAAAAUAAUACAAACAAUCUAUAUAUAAAGAAUGUGUAAAUUACAUAUGUUAUCGUAAAAAGUAUGUGUAUAAGAAGCCUAUAAAGAUAAACAAAAAUACAUGAAAAUUUGUAUGAAAAAAUGAAAAGAUUGAAUGAAGAAAAAUUUGUUUUAAAGAAAAGAUUGCAUAAUAUAUUUUAGUGUAACAGAGUGUGAAUUAUUUGAUUAAAUUAUCUAAAAAUAUUUAAUAUAAAUAUUUACGAUCUAAAAUUGCCUAAAUGCGUGACGUAGAUUGCAUAAAUAAAGACUAACCCGCCCAACACCCCAAAAAUAAAGAUUUCACUAUGAUUAAUAUUUUUGUACAAUUACAAAAUAAAAAAAAUACAAAUAUAAAUGUACUCUUUUCUUGAAUAUCGUUUCCGAUAUGUAUUCCCGAGAACCUGUAUAAACACUUAUAAUAAAAAUGUUAGUAACAAAUAAAUAAUUAAUAAAUUGAGAAAGUAGAUAUGCAUAUUUGUAUAAAAAAAAAUUUCGUUAAAAAGUAUGGGCUCGGAUCAGAUUUUAAGUACACCAUGACUACGAAGUGCUUGCUCAAUUUAUUGACCGUCCUAAAUCGCCUUGCCAAGAUACGAAUCAUAAAAUCUUUUCGUUGUUAUAAAAAUUUCAUCAUUGUCCGAAAUAUUUAUUUUAUUACGUAUUUAUAUAUGUAAUAUUCGUCUUUUUAUUUGUGAAGGCCUAAAAAAUCGAUGAAAAUUUUUUUCAUUAGCUAAGUGUCGGCCCUUAAUAUAAAAUAAUAACUUUGAUAAAAUAAAAUCUGUCUAUUGUAAUGGGUGGCCUCAAAUAUUCAUUGACCAAAUUCUAAGCUCAUGAUCCAUGCUCAACAAAUAGAAAAGGUUAGUAAUAAGGAGAGAGAACAAGAGAGCUAGGGUAGGUAGCUUCAAUUUCACUCGGCCUAAGUCAGAGGAUGGUAACCGUUAAUUAACACUAAUUAUUAAAGCGGGAUUAGGAGCAGUAAGAAAAAAGGCAGCAACCCAAAUAUUUAAAAAUAACAAAUAAAUCAGUAGCAAACCAAAAACAUAUACAACAGGAACCUAAAACAAACAUUUGAGAAAAUAUUACUUGCUCCAUUUCAAAAAGAAUGACUUACUUUUCUUUUUAGUAAGUUUCAAAAAGAAUGACUCCUUUUUUUUUUAUAAUAUUUUAAUUUUAACUUUUCACGUGGCAUGUUUAAAACCAUAAAAUUAAAGAAUAUUUUAAUAUAUUUGACACAACUUUAAUUUAACACCAUAAGAUUCAAAAGUAUUUAUUUUUUUAAAACUUUAUAUCAAAUUAAAAUAAAUUAUUCCUUUUUAAACGAAGAGAGUACUAUUUUAUCACAUUAAAUACAAACAAAAGACUAAAGCAUCGUGAACAUUGAAUCAAAAUCCAAAAGAAGGCCCAAAACGUGAAUUAGUUAUCGGUUCAAUUAAUAUUAACAAUGAAGAAAAUCAGAAAAGGAUACAAAUCAGUAAAGUAAACAAAAAUAUCAUAAAUCAGUAAAGUAAACAAAAUAUAAUAUAUCAGUAAAGAUUAAUAUAUAUUUUUAUAAAACUUGGUUCAUAGUAGAGAAAACUAAUCAAGUUAGUUCAAAAAAAUAAAAUAAUAAUACAAAAUCAACAACCAAUGCUAAAACAAUAACAUAAUUAUUAAUUAUCAUCCAUGUAUGUGCAAAAAUAUGAACACAAGUGUUAAAGCCAAACAGUAAAAAAGCAAAGAUCAAUCAUAAAUACCAAAAAAAAAAAAAAAAAAAGAGGAAGAAAGGCCACCACAACCAGCCAGAUCUGGUGUUUUUAUUUGGUGGACAGUGACGAAAGGGAGGAGGGACGAGCAGUGGUGGUGGUGUUUGCCUGGAGGAGCUUUCACUGGUGGGGAACGGAGGGAGGGGCAGUGCGUGGUGUUUUGCUAGAGGUGGGUGGUCGGCGAUGGAGGUCAGCGGCGGACCCAGGAAUUCAAUCUGUGUUCAAAAAAAAAAAUUUAUAAAAAAUAGUACGCAACUGUAGUGAUUCGAAUAUGAAAAACUGGACAUGGGAGUCACAUCCUCAAGCCACUGCACCCAAUCAUAUAUUUGUUCUCUGGGUACUUUUUAAUAAAUUAUACUAUUUAUUUUAUAUUUUUAUAUAAUUAUACCUAAUCUUCAUCGAGUUUAGUGAAUGUCGAAACACCUCAAAAUUACACAUGAAUCCGCCCCUGAUGAAGGUGAUAUUUUAGGUGAGGGUGGGGCGGCUGGAGAGAGUGGUGGUGCGCGCCGGUCAUCACCUGCGAGGCAACAUGUAUUAGCGGAGAUGAAAGGGAGAGAGAGAUCUGUGUUGGUGUGUGUAUGUGUGUUGGAUUUCUUAAAAAGAAAAAAAAAAUUCAAUCAAAUCUACCUUCUUUAAGAAAUUCCUUAAAUUAGGGGUAGUAGUUCAAAUAAAAUUAAAAAAAAAAAUGAGGAGACUUUGAUUUGAUUAAUUUAUUAUUUUAUGUAUUAAAAUAAUUAAAUUGACUCAUUUUUAUAUGCCGUAUUAAAUAACGUAUAAAAUAAUGAAUGCUGAUGUAUAAAUAUAGAAAAAUAUAAAUAAAAAUAAAAAAAUAUAAUUAUCUUAAAAAAAUAUAUUAUGCUAUAAGUAAUUAAAAUUAUAUUGUGUAGUAAAAAAUUAUAAUGUUUUGCUGUGUAAGUAUUCAAAUGAUUGUACAAAAAUAUUAAAAUAAUAAUAAACUUAAAGAUAAUUGUCAAUAAAUUAUGUAAAAUUAAAAUAUGACAAUAAAUGAGUAAAAAAUUCUAAAAUAAUGAUAAUUAUCAAUAAUUUAUUAACAAUUGCAAAAAAUAUGUAAAAAAUUGCAUAUUGUGUCAUUUCACGAUUAGGGAGCCUAAAUGCAUUAAUUUUAAGUUUGGAGAGCCAAAAUUUGGUGUCAACAGUUUUCCCCUUUUCGUUUGAAGAUUUCUAUAUCGUUUUCAAAAAAAUGAGCGAACUCCAAUUUAGAGUCGUCUACAUGCUUCAAGUUGCAUGGGGAGCAGGUAGAGUAUAGUUCAAAAGCUAUCCUGACAUAUCCUAUUUUGGAUUGGAUAAACCCAAUGCAUUCUUGAAUUCUAUGCUUGCAAAAUUUAUAAAAUUGAAAAACAGUAGACAAACAAGUAACUAAGUUUGAUUCUUUUUUUUCAAGAGAUUCCAAAAAAGACAUGUAAUGUUUUAACUAAUGUAAAGAUAAAUAAAUAAAUUUAUUGCACAAUUAAAUUCGAAGACAAGCAAAAUAUUCAACUGAAGGUAAACUCGCAUAAAGAUCUUAUUAGAGGGCAGAUUAAUCCAAAAUGUUCUAUUUUAGGGUGGACAAAUCCAAACCCAAUUCAUGCUUGUAAAAAUUUUAGAAAAAAUUAAGGUGAAUUUUUUUUAUUUUUUUAUUUUUAUUUUUUUUUGAGAAAUUAAAGAUAAUAUGUAGUGCUCAACUAAAUAAGAGAAAAAAAUGGUACAGGCAAAGAUAAGAUCCAGUGAUUAAAUGGUAAAAUACGUGCAUUGCGAUAUGUGUAGGUAAAGACAAAGUAUGCAGUACUUAAAUAACAAAAUAAACACAUUGCGAUGUGAAAGUAAAGACAAAAAUGACAUGCAAUGAUUAAAUGAUAAGAAGAAUGCAUUGCAAUAUAUGCUGGUAAAGGUCAAGAUGACAUACAGUGCUUAAAUGAUGAAAUAAAUGUAUUGUGAUAUUUACAAGGUAUACAGUGCUCAAAUAAAACAAUGUGUUGCGAUAUAUGUGUGUAGUGCUUAAAUGACAAAACAAAUGCAUUGUGAUAUUUUCAAUGUGUGUAGUGCUUAAAUUUAUAACAAUAUACGCCGAUAAAGGCAAAGAUGACAUGUGAUGCUUAAAUAAUAAAAUAAAUGCAUUGCGAUGCGUGUAGAUAAAGACAAAGAUAAUAUGUGGUGCUUAAAUGAUAAAAUAAAUACAUUACGGUGCGUGCAAGUAAAAACAAGAAUAAAAUGCAGUGCUUAAAUGAUAAAAUAAAUGCACUGCAAUGCGUGCAAGAAAAGACAAAAAUAAAAUGCGGUGCUUAGACGAUAAAAUAAAUGCAUUGCGAUGCAUGCAAAUAAAGAAAAAAAUCAAAUACAGUGCUUAAAUGAUAAAAUAAAUACAUUGCGAUAUGUGUCAGCAAAAACAAAAAUAACAUGCAAUGUUUAAAUAAUAAAUAAAUACAUUGCGAGAUAUGCAAAUAAGGACAAACAAAACAUACAGUGCUUAAAUAACAAAUAAUAAAAUAAAUAAAUUGCGAUGCGUGCAAGUAAAGACAAAAAUAGCAUACAGUGCAAAAAGAAAAAAAUGAAGUGCAAUAUGUGCAAGUAAAGACAAGCAAGUAUAAAUAUUUAAUUGAAAAAAAAAACAUGCAUUGGAGGACAGAAUGACCCAGUUGUCCUAUUUUAGGGUGGACAAACUCAUGUAAAAAUGAUUAUUGAGCAAAGAAUUAUUUGCAAAUGAAAGUGUUUAUAUAAUUCUGAUGCUGCUUUCAAAAAUUAUCCCAGUAUCGAGUUAUAAGAUGCUGGAAAAUGCAAGAUUGUAUACUUGCUGGGGAGAAAGAAUGAUUAUAGGAUUGCAAUGAUCGAACUCUACAUAGAGCUUCCUACAUAUCCCGUAUGUCAUGAGAAUCAGGCCAAUAUAGUUUGAAAUAAAGAAACAGAGUAAAUUUUGAGACGGCUUUCAAAAUUUGCCCCAAUAUAUUAUUUAUGUUGAUAUUAUGUUGUACUAAGGAAACUAAAAAAAAUAAUUUUGCUAUUGCGGAUUGAAAAGAUGCAUGACGUCUCUGAUUGCUUACAGAGACAGAUGCUGAUUGUUGUUUUUGAUUGCCUACGAAUACUAAUGCCCUCAACUAGUAAAGUGACUGAAAUCUAAUAACCUCUCAAAAUGUAAAAGGUACAAAAAAUGGGUGCUUAACUGAAAAAUAAAAUGCUGCAAUUUAAAGGUAUGUGCUUGAAAGAAAAAGUCAAAUGCCUGUAUUUCAAAAUUGGACGCCUUGAAUGAAAAGUAAAAAGUGCAUGUAUGUAAAGUGAGCACCUUGAAUGAAAGGUAAGGAAAUGCUUGUAUGUGAAAGUGACCUCUUAAAAAAAGAAGAAAAAUGUUGUAUUUUUUGGUUAAAAAUGCUGAAAGAUGAAGAAGACAUAAUCUUGUCUUGACUUCAGUUGGUGCCAAUAAUUAGUAGUGUGCAUAAGAAUUCCUCCAUCUACUUCUCAGCUAACCGAGAUCGACUUCAAGAUAACUACUGUAGUUUCAAAUGGUACCUCAGACAUGCCUAAGUAUCAACAAAAUUUUUUGUCUUGCUUCAAAAAAAUAUUUUGAGCUAUGUCUAUCCUCAUGCUUCAAGUGCUCUCUCCUGAAAGAAAGUCUCAUUUCACACAUAUUUAAGUAAUAAUUUUUUAAAAAAAUUUGGAGACAUUUAAAGAAAUACACUCACACUCAGAAAGAAAUUCAAUGCAUGUAAUUGUGAUACAAUAGGUUUGAUCUUUAUGUAAGUAUCCACUAAUGUGAGAACACUUAGAAUAGGAUCUCAUAGGAAUUGCUAUUGGCUUAUAAUGUAGGUUUGGGGAUGGGUAGGAUGAUAUUUGAGAUAAAAUUGACUAAUCCCUCAAUGAGUAUUACAUUGUAUUUGUGCUUUCGGCAUUUGUUGCGCUUUGACGCGUGAUCUUCUUAAUUGCAUUUUGUUGUCCCUCAAUUUGCAUUUGCUUCGACUUCUUUUGAAUUUUGUGCUGGAGUUUUUCCCCUUUUCUUUUCAAGAAACUAUAUAUAUUUUAUGUUAUUUUUUUUCUUUGCUUAUUUUUGAAGUCGUUUUUCAUUUUUUUUUCAUUUGGGAUAAUAUAUUUUUUUGCAUUUUGCAUUUUUAUUUUGAAUCUUCGUCUAUAAUUUGCACGCAUUUAGUGUGCUCAAGGAGGUAGGGCCAAGAGAGUACACGUAAGCACUCAAAAAGGUAUAGGCUCAAAUGCGAUUGUCCAAAGAAAAGGUUUUAGGCUUAAAAGAGAAAAUGCUGUGGAUUAAUGUUAUUUGGUGGGUUGUGAAAGGCACAAUCGAAUCAAAGAAGGCCUACGAUCCUUUCCUAAAUCAAGUGCAACUCAAAAUUUCGCCUCAACAAUACAAUGCAAUGAAUUAAAAUAAAGCUCACCACGCAUGCACAUGAAACUAUAAGGUUGACUUUGUUUUUGUCUUAGAUGUAUGCAAGAGAAUUUUUUCAAGCGUUACACAAGUGUGAUAAAAGGUACCAAAAAAAUCUAUAGUUUACUAUAAAGUCAGUUCUUUUCAUCACAUCAAAUUGUUCUUUCUCAUGCACACUCCUAACUGUAUUAGUAUCAACCAAGUUAAAAUUAUUCUUUAUUUAAAAACAUGGGAUCGAACCCAAAAUAAGGAUUACCUAUGUAUCUUGUGAAAAUAAGAAUCAAGUUUGCGUAGUUCAGAUAAAUUUGUAAUUUUGUAUGUGCAAUGUAUGAUUGUAAAAAAAAUGAUAGUCAUCCUUGAAAAUAAUACGAAAGAAAAUUACAAAGGAACUGCUUUUAACAUCAAAAUUAUUCUAAUCACAUGAUCAAAAGAAUGAACGUCAAGUAUGGGAAAAGCUUCGACACAACUUCAAUACGCUGACAAAAUUAAAAAGGUCAGGCAUUGAAGAAUUAAAAAGGUCAGACGUUCUAAUCACAUUUGGAAGGGUUGUUAUGAUUGAAAAAAAUAUUAAACCCUUCUUGUUGAAAGCGAGGAUUAACACACCAUAAAAUUUAAUGAUUUACGACGUUCGAAAGAAGAAGCCAGGUAUUCUUUAAUCAAAAUUGGGUGAAAGUCUGGAGAUAGGCUGGCUAUGCGCUAAUGUUAAUGAGAUUUGGAUUUAAGGAGCUAUUAAAUUGUGCUCUUGAAGGCUUUUGGAGAGCAUUUUUGAACUGUUCCAGAAAAUUUUCCUAGUUUGAAUACCAGAGAAAUUAUUCUGAAACAGUAAAGAGACAGAACCCAAAUGAGGGUUUCCUACAUAUCUUGUUAGGACAAGAAUCAGGUCAAAACGUAGUUCAAACCUAUACGCAACUAAUGACGAUGUUGGUAAGAUGUAUCUUUUAAUUGAUCAACCAUACAAAAUAAAGAUUAGAUUACACCUUCCCACUAAAGAAUAGAUAAUUUAGAACAAAUAAAUAUGUACAGACACAAUAAUUCUUUAAAUAUGUACAAAAAUUAUAAUAAUGUGUCACUUGAGUCUGGAACCCUUUGGACAUAGAGUUGUCUAAUGAUGCAUGCACCUAAAAGGUGUUAUUUUAGCUAUAACCUACAUUGACUAAGAGUGGGUAAACGCGGACUUGAAUUUCUUAUAUGAGAAGGAACAUAGUUCCAUGGGAGUAAAACCUCCGCUCGCCCCAAGCAUGCGCCAACUCUAUAAAGUAAGGUAAUUUGAAAGAAUUUUGAAAAAAUACAAUAUACAAUCCGCAAGUACAAUAUGUGUGAGUGUCAAUUUUUCAAAAUGGAGGAAAUAUAAAUGAAAUGUCAAUUUAUAUAAAGCGAUACAUAAAUAAAUAGUUUAUACAAAAUAAUAACAAAUAAAUAAUUUAUGCCAUAUAAACAAGAUAAAUCAAGACAAUUAAUAUGAAAUAAAUAACAAUGUAUAAAAACGUAAAUAUUUACCUAAAUCUGUAAGGGCUAAAACCUUGUAUUCCCCAGCAGCGUCGCCAAACUGUAAUACCCAAUUUUUACCUAAGAUCAAAACGAGUACGCCAUUAUGGACUCAAAAAAAUUAAUUUUUAUACAGAGUCACCACCUAAUUUUUAAAAAAAAUAAAGAAACCUAUUUACUUAUUAAGAAGUAUGACUUGUAUUUUAAUCUACGAACCAAUUUAAAUUCUAAAUAAGGAUUCAAAUUAUUCCGAAGAAAAUAUGUUAGGCACUCAUCAUAAUCCACAAAUGUGGUUUCUAGCAAAACUUAGGUUAUUAUUAAAAGAACAAAAAAAAAAUUAAUGUUUCUAAAUGCAACUAUAAAAUAUGUAUUAAAAUAAUAUAAACAAUCUAUAUAUAAAGAAUGUAUAAAUUACAUAUGUUGUCAUAAAAAAUUUGUGUACAAGAAGCCUAUGAAGAUAAACGAAAAUUUAUGAAAAUUGUAUGAAAAAAAUGAAAAGAAUGAAUAAAGAAAAAUUUAUUUUAAAGAAAAGAUUGCGUAGUAUAUUUCAGUGUAACAAAGUGUGAAUUAUUUGAUUAAAUAAUCUAAACAUAUUUAAUAUCAAUAUUUACGACCUAAAUUUGCCUAAAUGCGUGACGUAGAUUGCACAAAUAAAGACUAACCCGCCCAAUGCCCCAAAAAUAAAGAUUUCACUAUGAUUAAUAUUUUUGUACAAUUACAAGAAUAUAAAAAAUACAAAUAUAAAUUUACUCUUUUCUUGAAUGUCGUUUCCAAUAUGUAUUCCUGAGAACCUGUAUAAACACUUAUAAUAAAAAUGUUAGUAACAAAUAAAUAAUUAAUAAAUUGAGAAAGUGUAUAUGCAUAUUUGUAUAAAAAAGAUAUAAUUUUCGUUAAAAAUAUGUGCUCGAAUCGGAUUUUAGGUAUACCAUGACUACAAAGUGGUUGCUCAAUUUAUUGACCAUCCUAAAUCGCAUUACCAAAAUAUGAAUCAUAAAAUCACUUUUGUUGUUAUAAAAAUUUCGUCAUUGUCCAAAAUAUUUAUUUCAUUACAUAUUUAUAUACGUAAUAUACAUUUUUUUAUUUGUGAAGGCCUCAAAAAUCGAUGAAAAAUUUUAUUCAUCAACCAAGUGUCGGCCUUUAAUAUAAAAUAAUAACUUUGAUAAAAUAAAAUUCAUCUUUUGUAAUGAGAUGACCUCAAAUAUCCAGACGAAGAGAUAAUUUUACUGGUCAAACAUUAAUUAAGGAAGCCACCCAAAUAUUUAAAAAUAACAAAUACUCCCUUCGUUUAAAAAAAAGAUCUAUUUUUUUUGUCCGUUUAAAAAAGAAUGAUUACUUUCCUUUUUUUGCAAUAUUUUAAUUUAAACUUUUCAUGUAACAUGUUUAGCAUAAGAAGAUUAAAGAAUAUUUUGAUACAUUUGACACAACUUUAAUUUAAGAUCAUAAAAUACAAAAAUCUUCUUUAUUUUCUUAAACUUUAUGCAAAAUUAAAAUAGAUAUUUUUUCAGGAGUAAAUCAGUAGCAAACCAAAAAACAUUUAAGAGAAAAUAUUACUAUUUUAUCACAUUAAAUACAAAAGACUAAGGCAUCGUGAACAUUGAAUCAAAAUCCAAAAGAAGGCCCAAAACGUUAAUUAGUUAUCGGUUCAAUUAAUAUUAACAAUGAAGAUAAUCAGAAAAGGAUGACAAAUCAGUAAAGUAAACAAAAUAUAAUAAAUCAGUAAAGAUUUAUAUAUAUUUUUAUAAAACGUGGUUCAUAGUAGAGAAAACUAAUCAAGUCAGUUCCAAAAAACUAAAAUAAUAAGAGCAAAAUCAACAACCAAUGCUAAAACAAUAACAUAAUUAUUAAUUAUCAUCCACGUAUGUGCAAAAAUAUGAACACAAGUGUUAAAGCCAAACAGUAAAAAGCAAAGAUCAAUCAUAAAUACCAAAAAAAAAAAAAAGAAAAGAGGAAGAAAGGCCACCACAACCAGCCAAAUCUGGUGUUUUUUCUGGUGGACAGUGAAGAAAGGGAGGAGGGACGAGCAGUGAUGGUGGUGUUUGGCUGGAGGAGCUUUUACUGGUGGUUAAUGGAGGGAGGGGCGGCGCGUGGUGUUUUGCUGGAGGUGGGUGGUCGGCGAUGAAGGUGAUAUUUUGGUGAGGGUGGCGUGGCUAGAGAGGGUGGCGGUGCGGCUGGUGAGGUGGUUCUCGCCGGUCAUCACUUUCGGCGAGGCAACGUGUAUUAGCGGAGAUGAAAGGGAGAGAAAGGAGUGUUUGGGUAGUGGUGCUUGUUGGGGAGACGGUGGUUAGCCGGCAAAAAAUUCGCCGGAAUCCGAUGGUUGCUAGCGGUAGUGAGAGGGAGAAAUAGGAGAAAGAGAGAGAUGAGAAAGAGAGAGAGAAAUGAGAGAGGAGAAAGAGAGAGAUCCGUGUUGGUGUGCAUGUGUGUUGGAUUUCUUAAAAAGGAAAAACAAAUUCAAUCAAAUCUACCUUUUUUAAGAAAUCCCUUAAAUUAGGGGUAGUAGCUCAAAUAAAAUAAAAAAAAUAAAAAAAUAAGGAGACUUUAAUUUGAUUAAUUUAUUAUUUUAUAUAUUAAAAUAAAUAAGUUGAUUCAGUUUUGCAGAUCAUAUUAAAUAAGUAUAAAAUAAUAAAUAUUGAUGUAUAAAUAUAAUAAAAUAUAAAUAAUAAAUAAAAAUAUAAUUAUCUUAAAAAAAUAUAUCAUGAUAUAAAUAAUUAAAAUUAUAUCGUGCAGUAAAAAAUUACUAUGUUAUGUUGUGUAUGUAUACAAAUGAUUGUGCAAAAAUAUUAAAAUAAUAAUAAACUGAUAAAAAUUUUAAAAUUUACGAAAUUAAAGAUAAUUAUCAAUAAGUUAUAUAAAACUAAAAUAUGAAAAUAAAUGAGUAGAAAAUCCUAAAAUAAUGAUGAUUAUCAAUAAUUUAUUAAUAAUUGUAAAAAGUAUGUGAAAAAUUACAUAUUAUGCCAUUUCACGAUUAGGAAACUUAAAUGCAUUAAUUUUAAGUUUGGAGAAUCAAAAUUGAGUCAACAAUGACUAUUUUGCGAAUAUAGAAAAAUAAUUUAAAAAAUAAAAAAGAAGUAGAAGGUCAAACCUGAAAGAACGACAAAGAAACAAAUGAUAGAGUUCAACAGCUUAGCCAUAUUGCUUAUUGAAGUUUGAUGAGCUCAAUUAUAAAAGGAAUAUUCAAGAUUUGUAUGUUUGGUAUAGCAAGGUGAAAGGGGCCUUUAUAGUGUGAAUUUUAAAGAUUCUUGUAGAUUUACUUUGGUAAGUAAAACUUUUAGAUGUGUUUUUUUGGUAAUAGUAUAAUUUACUUUUCAUUCAGAACGUAAAUGGCUAGUCUCCAAAUCUUGAUUGACUUUGGAAAGUAGUUAUUCCCUUCCUCUAUCUUAACCCGUCCACUAUUGAUUGACAAAUAUCUUAUGAAACAAUAAUAAUAAUAGUAAUUUUACUAUAUCACCCGUUCAAUAUAGUAAAUUUAAUAAUUUAUAUGAAACAAUAAUAAUAAGAGUAAUUUUACUAUAUCACCCGUUCAAUAUAGUAAAUUUAAUAUUUUAAAAUAUAAAUUGAAUAUUAAAUAAUAUUUAAUAGUAAGAUUACAAAGAACACAAUAUCAUUAGCAAGAGCCUCUCAUUAUGGGAAACACAUAUCACCUCAACUUUAUAUUCAUGUCUUUUUUCCAUCAUCUUUUCUUGACAUUAUGUUCUCAUAUCAUCCUUUCAAUUCUCAUAUCAUCAAUUUCAACAACAUAAUAGUAUUAGAAAUAAGUAAGCACCAUAGAGUUUAUUAAUUUCACAACAAUAGAAAAUCACAUAGUUCCAUUACAAUAAAGCAACUUAGCCAAUUUUUAUCACUGAAAUUGAAACAAAAAAAUUCAGAACAGUGACAACAGUCUAGCAACUCAAGUUCAGCCAAAUAUCAAACAUAAGCAACCAAAUGAAUUCACUACUUUCACAAGUCUUCACCUAUUAACAAUAACUUUUAGCCUUUAUUAACAGAUACCAAUUAGAAUCUCCUUGAUUUCAAUUCGAAACUCACUAAGAUACCUAUUGGAAUCAACUGGAUCUCAAUUGAGCUUUGUUGAGAUACUAGAAAAAUUGAAGGAAAGGUGUCAUUUAAGUCUUGAAUGAAUAAUUCGUAACAUUUUCCAACUUAAAGAGUCAAAAUAAUUAAGAAACUUGAUUUGGUUAAUUGUGAACUUGAUUAAUAUUUUCACAAUUUUCUAAUCUUUUCAGAAAUACAAAUCAACCCGCACCCCUCUCCUCUCUAAAUCAACCAUUUCUCCCCCCUCUCUCGUGAGUUUCUCUCAACUUCUUCCGACUGAUAGUUCUUCAAAUUUCUCCCUUCAAUCUCUGGCAACUUCAACCUCCAGUAAUAAAUAGUUGAGCUUUAAGUUCCUUUUCGAUAUUCAAACGUCAAUCUAUGUGACAACCAUGCUUUCCGGCCAUAACAACUUCGAGUUCUUUAUCGUUCCUUUUCUUCUUUCACAGGUAAAAAAUUAUGGCUUUUUAAUUUUGAAGAAAAAAGAGGAAUUUGAGCCAACUUCUCUUUUAGUAUUGAUUAAUAAUUUUAAUAUUUGUUGCUUUAAUUUAAAAUACGGUCUGAAAAAUUUUUUAAUUUCUGGUAUUUCUUCACUUCUCUUUUCUGAGUGAAAUAUGAUUUUUUGUUGUUUGUUACUAUUAGAGGUAGAGGUAUGGACUGCGUACAUCUUACCCCCCCCCAGACCCCACUAGGUGGGAAUACACUGGGUUUGUUGUUGUUGUUGUUAUGUUUGUACAAAUAAAACAACAAUGUUGGCGUUUUGGGUGUUGCGCCCAUUGUUGGGUUUAUUUGUUCUUGUUCUUGGUAAAAAUGAUGUAUAUGAUAUUAAAUGGUGAUAUUGCUAUUGUUCUAUUAAACAAAAUCUUGCUACUAUUUUUUCUAUAAUAAAUUAAUCAUUUGAUGUAACAAAUUAACCAUAUGAUACAACAGAUUAAUCAUUUGAUAUAACAGAUUAACCAUCUGAGGUAAUAGAUUAACCAUCUAAUGCAACAGAGAAACCAUCAGAUUAAAAAUCUAAUACAAUAGAAUAACCAUCUGAUGCAAUAUAUUAACCAUCUAAUACAACAGAUUUACCAUCCGAUGCAAUAGAGGAACCAUCAGAUUAAAAAUCUAAUACAACAUAUUAACUAUCUGAUGCAAUAGAUUUACCAUAUGAUGUAACAAAUUUACCAUCUGAUGCAACAGAAGAACCAUCUGAUUAAAAAUCUAAUGCAAUAGAUUAACCACUCAAUGCAACAGAUUUACUAUCUGAUGCAAUAAAUUUACUAUCGAAUUAGCCAUCUGAUGCAACAAAUGAACCAUCUAUUGGAUAAAAUCCUAUCAACUAUUCCAAUAGGACGACAUGUCCAAGACUUGAUUUUUUUAGCAGAUCAUUCAUCUGUUGCGAUAGACGACCCUUCUGUUGAAAAAAAUCUAAACAACAUUGAUAGUUGAUAACAAUUCCAACAGAUCACUCAUAUGUUGUAACAAAUGUUUGAUCUGUUGCACAAAUCAGUCAUCUAUUUCAAAAGAUGAGUGAUUUAUUUUUAUUAUUUCCAACAGAUUUCUCAUUCGGUCCAACAUGUUAUUUAUAUGUUGUAAUAUGUAAUUUGCCUAGUGCAACAGAUGUGUGAUCUGUUGGAACUGUUAGUUUACUAUUGUACAUGUUAUAUUUACUGUUAUCCCCUUUUUAACGAUGCAUUAAUCAGUUAUAAUCUUUUUUAUUUUUUUGUUAUUUUUAGAUAAUAUGUCUCCCAAAAGAAAAAACUGAAUCAAGUCCAAGUAAGGGAACAAGUGAAGCAGCUAGGCUACAUCCACCACUCUAUGGGCUUGCUUUACAAGUGACAUAUCAAUCAGAAGCAGAAGAUAAUGAACAUGGGGAUAAAGAAUGUUUCAAAAGAGAUGAUCCAAAUGCUAAUAGCCCUUCUUCUAAAGAGUUCGUCAAAACCUUCAGCAUUGAUAGUUAUCCUGUGAUAAUGCAGUGCAAUGGUGCCAUCAAUUUAACUCGUGAUUUCGUGGUUAAGUCAGCCAUGGGAAAAUCUUUUGACACCUUUUGAAAAAUAAUUCGAGAACAAAAAUUAGAUGCUUAUUUCAGGAAAAGCUUCUUUGGGCAAUAUCUUGAUUUGCCGGAGGACAACAAUGCUCGUUUUCAAAUAAAAAUGGUAUAUGAUCUUCUCAAGCGUAGGUUUAUGUAUGAGAAUAAAGAUAAAAUGGAUAAGGUGUAGAUAAAUUACUGUGGCAUGCCUGUUUGUUUUGGAUAGAAGGAGUUUGCCAUAGUUACGGGACUAAAAUGUUAUCCUCCUUCUCCUUCUCAAGUUAUACCUAUUCUAACCCAAAAAAUCACCCCGCAAAAUCAAAAAAGGCAAAGGAAAGUCAAAUGAUAGUGAUGACUUGGUAUCCCUUGUUGGUCCAGUCUUCAAAAAUAAAAUUUGAUAGAAGUAUUGAAAGGUAAAAGACUUUCAAAGAAGCAUAAGCAAUCAUUUGUAGUACCCCAUACGUUUCUAGUUCAGUUUAGCCCUUAGUAAUUUCCUAUAACAUUUAGAACCCAAAAAUAAAGCUAAGUGUUGAGGGGUUUAGUUAUUUUUGAAUUCUUUUAACUCUGAGGAUUUUUAGGUUAAUCUUUCGGGCUCCGAGACGAUGAUUUUUGAGUUGAUUUAUGCUCAGGGGUGUAUUAGCAUGUCUCGAAUAAGUUUUAGAUUUUUUGAACAAGGUUUGGACCAUAUUUGGAUUCGACAAGUAGCAGCUCACCGCGAUUAGACCGUCGUGGUGAGUACAGCAGUGAGUAAGCCACUGCAUCCAAUGAAGGUCUAAUCGGUAGUUUUUGGUUUCCAGAGAGUCACCGCAAUUACACCCCGUCAUGGUGGGAAUCACGAUGACCCAUUCACCGCGUUGCGGUGAUGCUCUAAAUGGCACUUCAGUUCCAAAUUUUAAAUUUAGGGGCAACUUAGUCUUUUUCCCAUGCCCCCAAAUCGUGAAAAUAAAAGAUUUAACCCUAUUCUAAGCAUAUUACACUCAUUCUGCACCAAAAUUUGAAAAUAAUUCCUCAAUGAGCAUCUAUUGUGAAUGAAGCAAGAAUAAAAGGGUUACUUGUAAAGAUAAAGAAAACAACUGAUACAAGCAAUAAUGAAGUUGAAAAUAACAACUAUAUGGUCAAAAAUGGGAAGAAAAUUGAUUUGUUGUGAAGGGUUGACUAAUAUGUUGAGUAGUUGUUGUUUGUAUUGUUGAGAGAGAAAUAAAAGAGCGAGAACUCAAGAUUUAAAAUGAUAAAAUAUUUUUCCUCAAAUGGAUGAUUUGUAUGGGUUGAUUUGUAUUUUGAAAAAGAUUGACAAGUUUUAAAAAAUGUUAAUUUGGUCCAUAUUGAUCUUAAUUAUUUUUUUUAAAAAGAUAAAUUUUAACCGUUUCAUUAUAAUUGAAGCUGUAGUUGACCCUAUGAACUCAUCCCUAGUUCUAUCUAAAUCAAUUUAGGUAUUUCAAAUAAUAAGCUAAUAUGAAUUAUUUCAACUCAGAUUGAUCGAUUGACGUCUCAAGUCAGGAAAAACUCAAUACCAACAUCAUGCAAUUACAAUGACUUAAUUAAAAAUAUAGUUGACCCUAUGAACUCAUCCCUAGUUCUAGUUAAAUAAUUUUUGGUAUUUUAAAUAAUAAGUUAAGAUGAAUCAUUUCAACUCAGAUUGAUCGAUUGGUGACUCUGGUCAGGCCAAAUUCAAUAUCAAAAUCAUAUAAUUGCAAUGACUCAAUUGAAACUGUAGUUGACCAUAUUAACUCAUCCAUAAUUCUAGCUAAAUUAAUUUAGGUAUUUCAUAUAAUAAGCUAAUAUGAAUCAUUUUAACUCUGAUUGAUCUAUUGACAACUCAAGUCAGGAAGAAUACAAUACCAACAUCAUGCAAUUGCAACGACUCAAUUGAAACUAUAGUUGAUCCUAUGAAAUCAUUCAUAGUCUAGCUAAAUCAAUUUAGCUAUAAUACCUUGUAUGUGUCACGCUUAACUUAAUCUCAGUUCAUGAGUUAUCUAAUAUAAAAUUUAUGAAACGCUUAUUAUUUUAAGUUUAAAGCCUGCCAUUGCACAGAAAAUUGAAUUAGCUUUCUAACGAUAUAAAAUUUGCCUAAAUUCGAUAACCGGAUAAGAAGUUAUGGUUAUUUUAAGUUUUAGUCGUUAAACAUCAUCAUUCAGUCCAAUAGCACAUCACGGAGUAUGCCAAAAUGACAAUUGUCAAUUUCCAGUGUUGCUCCGCGAUAUUGGUACAUCGCGUCAAGGCUUAUUUUCACGUUUGUCAAUUUCCAGUGAGCCAACGUGAUUGUACCGCGUCACGCCAAGCUUCCAGGUCUCAUCCAGUGUUGCAAUGCAAUUGUACCGCAUUACGCCACCAGCCCAGUUCCCAAUUGUCAAAUUUUAGUGACACGAUAAGAUAGCACCGUGUCGUACCAGGGGUCCAGGUCGGGAAAAUUUUAUCAUGUAAAUAAUCCAUGCUCCCUAAGUGUUUGCUAAAUUGUCUAUGUGAAAUAAAUAGUAGAAUCAUGACACAUUAUUAUGUGAUACCAUUCAUGCACAAGUUCAUGUAUAUUAAGUGUUUGACAAAAUGUCUAAAUGAGUGCAUUAUUGCAAAUAAGUAUUGUUAUGCCUUUAUGUUCAUGUUAUGUCUUUCUCUUAUGCUAUCGAGUCCUGGGGGUAUUUAAUACCCGACUAUUUAGCUGUGUACCUAGAGCCAAUAUCAGUUACAAAAUCUUAGUCAUGUCACGAUCAGAAGUACUCUCAGUUAGUUACAGAACUUAGUAGAACUCAGUCAGUUGCAGAACUCAAAAAAACUCAGUAAAAUUAGUAUUUAGUCCAUUCCAAUUCAGUAUAAUCAAUUUAGUGUCUUUCAAUUAGGAGUAGGAUUCAGCACCGAGUGAACCCAAGGAUGGGGGCUCACCUGCCAGUAGAGAGUGUGAUCUCUAGAAGCAAUCCUUGCAUUCCAGAACUACGUAGCCAGCGUAGGUUGAGACAUCAAACCUGCCUGUUGAGGGUUGAUGAGGUAUUUUAACCUGAUAGAUAAGGGUUCCACCGUUCUCAUUAGGGUACAUGCCAGAUAAGGGUAACUCUUCAGUGUCUUUACUCGUGGCACGGUACUGAUACCCUUCUAACUAGAGUCACAGGUUGGACCCCAACUCAGUUAUCUUAUUUGGGUCAUGUCGGUUAGAUGAUUACCUCCCACAGUCUCAAUUUCAGUCUUUAGAAUAGAACUCAGUUCAGUUUUACAGAAUCAGGACUGUCAGAUAUAGUCAAUUAGUAUCAGUAACUUAGUUAUCAGUAACUUUAGAUAUCAGUUACUCAGUAUCAUAACUUAGUACUUAGCUUCAGAUAAGCGUACUCACAGUAUUUAUUUAUAUGCACAGUAGUGCAUACUUAGUAUUUACAACAGUAUCAGUUAUCCAUGUACUCUCAUAUUCAGUUACACUAUAUCAUUCAGUCAGUUAUUGUUCAUGCUUAUGAACCCUUGAAUUCAGCCUCACCUCAUCUAGCAUACUAGUAUAUUUUGAUGUACUGACACAUAUUUUCUUGCGCUAUGAUGUUUCAUAUCAUAGGUUCGGACGCUCAGGUUUUGACCGCCCAUAGAUAGAUUCAGAUUUACCCAACAACAGUAGAUUAGCAGUGAGUCCUCAUUAUUCGAGGAUAUUCUUUUAUUUUAUUAUUUCAGUAGACUCAGUAUUUCAGUAAAUGAAUUUUUUUGGGGGAUUAUCCCAUCAACUUUGCUUUUCAGACAGUUCAGUUAGAGGCUUUUCAGACUAGAUUAUUCAGAUAGUAUUCAGUUUAGUAGAUGUCAUUAUCAGAUGUUAUUAUAUUUUAUUAGUAUUUUAGAUGUUUUGAACCUUAUGGCAUUUCAAACUAUUUUUUGUAUUUAUUACAGUAUCAUAUUUCAGUGCUCACAGCAGAUAUCAAAUAUGGGUUAACUUGUGGUCCUUUGGGAUCGUAAGCACCGUGUAGCGUCCGGGCUACAGACUUAGGGAGUUACAAACUUUGUAUCAGAGCUGGGUUUAAUAAAGUCCUAGAAAGUCUGAAAGCCGCAUCUAGUAGAGUCUUGUGCAUGCUUGUGUAAUGCGCCACACUUUUGGACAGGAGGCUAUAGGAUGUUUUAGAAAACAAUUUUCCUUCUUUUAGUAUUCAUUUCAUGCGAGUGAGCAUGAGCUCAAUUUAAAAUCUCAAUCUAAUUUGUUUCCUUCUUUCCAUUUAUAGAACAUGCCUCCUAAAAAGACUAGCGAAAAAAGAACCAGAAAUUAGUUAGCACCUCAGCCCAUUCAGGCAGAUCCCCUGGACGAGCAUGUCUCCCAUGUAGAAUUUAGAGCUGUAUUCACUACUCUAGCCAACUUUGUAGCAUCUAAGAAUGAACGGCCAGUUACUUUCAGGCCAACCGAGUGUCCAAUACUGCUGUAGCCAGGAUUAGGGACUUCACCCGAAUGAAUUCUCCCUUAUUCUCAGGAUCUAAGUCAAAAGAGGAUCCACAGGAGUUUCUCGAUCAGGUUCAAAAAGUCACAGACAUUAUAGGAGUGACUUCUAGUGAGAGUGCUGAGUUAGCUGCCUAUCAUUUACAAGAUGUAUCUUAAAUGUGGUUUAAGCAGUGGAAGGUAGACAGGGGAACAGACGUAGAGCCCAUAGAGUGGAAAGAGUUUGCUACUGCUUUUCUUGAGAGAUUCUUUCCCUUAGA